UUAAGACUUUUCCGAUAUUUUCAUUCUCUUGCAUCGUUACAGUUUCUUUGGGCACCAUCAUUUGUAAUUAAACACUUCCAAGUCAUUUCAAACAAAUUUUCCACUAUUUCAUUGAAUGCGCUGCAUCUUCUCUCCCCCCCCCCCCCCCCCCACACCAAAAAAAGGGGAGGCGGCGCAAAUGGAGGAGAUGAAGGAAAAAUCUGUUGAAAUUAAUUUCGUAGUUGAAGUUUAUAAAUGCAAGAUGAUAUGAUCUCUCAGUCUAUUAAAUACUGAUGUGCAAGAACUUUAGCACUAUGUGACCUAAUAUCUCAAGUAAAUAGGAGAGAACAACUUGAGCACUUAAGAGGGCCAACGUUAAAUAAACUCCAGAGUGGCAUGUUGUAAUUGUUGGCUUAUUGUUAUGCAGAACUUUCCCGGUAGUGAAAUAAAAUCGAGAGGAAGAUGGGAGGAAAUAAAGAUCAAUGCGCUUUCUUGUAUUUCAUGGGUUAAAAAUCUUUUUAUCUGAUUACAAACUGAUAGAUAAAAUACCCUUAUAUCAUUUGUGAUUGAAUCUCUUAGGUCAAAUAUAUAAAGUUAGAACAAUCCUCAACUCAUUAGUUAGAUUUUGAGUAUGGCUUAAACCCAUGAACUUUUAUAUUUUACUAGAGAUACUCACCCACGAUUAUGCCCGCACUACCUCCCACAGUACCUUACCACUAGACGCCCUUCACAUGGAGGCUUGGGUACCACUUGAAAAGUCAUUUGAAAGAAAAGUCUGUUUAAAAUUACGUUCCAAUUCUGUAUUUUCAACUCUCCAAGUUAUAAAUUGAUAUUCAACUCUUAUGUUAUAAAAAAAGUAAUGCUAGAGCAUUCCAACUUGAGUACCAAUGGAUGUGGCAUUCAUUCAGUGGAUUGUAGAAUAUUUAUUUUAUCAGCUAUAAAAUUUAUUAUUCAAUAGAUAAUGAUAUAUGAUAGUUGGGACUCAAAUUGGGACUUAAUUGGUGGGACACAAUCAUGAUUGGUUAAAAAAGAUAUACAGAGAUAACCAUCGUAAGAGGUAAAUCAAAAACUCUUUCUUUCUCUCUGCUAAGACCCUUUCUGCCACCAGCUGAAAUUCAAACACUAGUUUUGAUCCAUCAACGUGCCUGAAUUACACAGCCACCACAUUUUCAAACAUCUAAACUCUCAAAUCUAUUUUUCAACUCCGUUUUUCCAACCACUGCAGUCUCGAACCAACCGGAACUCCACGCUGCUACUUGUAGCUGCCACGUCGCCAAUUUCCCAUCACCACAGCACAAAAAUAAAAUAAAAUAAAAAAUAUAUAUAUAUACACGGAGGAGAGAACAACUUGUAGACUUGAGAGGGCCAGGGUUAAUUAAAAGUCAAGUUGACUUGCAGGACUUUCAUUGUAUUGGGAUAAAAGCUAAAAGGAACCUAGAAGGAAUUUAAUUAAAGAUCAACGCAUGCAAUUGCUCUGUUAAAUCUUCAUUCUUCCAAGUAAAAAUAUUGAGAAUGGUUGUUCAUCAUUAUCUGGUGUUGCUGCAAUUGAUGAUUUUGCUAGUAUGGCCAAUCAAAGCAUCAAAAGAUUUAUGCCAAUAUGAUUGUGGCAAUGUCACUAUCAGUUACCCCUUCGGAAUCGGAGACGGUUGCUACUUUGAUAACAGUUUUGAAGUAUUCUGCGAUUACUCCUCUGGCUCCCCAAAAGCUUUUCUUGCGAGCAUCAACAACCUGCAAGUAUUGGACAGUCAUGUUUAUACUGUUUAUGAUUCAUCUACUUCUUUUUAUGUAUACAUGAUUAGGGUAUACAUUCCUGUAAUUUCUUUGAAGAUCAGUAACCUGACAAGCAGUGAUAAAGGGGUCAGUCUAUCAGGUAGCCCUUUUACAUUUUCCCGGUCGCGCAAUAGAUUCACUGCCAUAGGUUGCAACAACUAUUCUACGAUUAUUAAGCGACAGAAUGAUUCAUCCGUUUUUGGUGGGUGCCUUUCGAUUAUCACUUGUGAUCCUGCUCUUAACCCUGGUUGCUACGAUUUCCUAUGCGCCUUUCCUCAAAAUAUUACUGAGGUUUUCAAUGCACAAAUAUCUAAUUUUUAUUCUAAAAGUAUUCCUCUGGAAUGUCACUCUGUUUCCAUUGUUGAAGAUUAUUGGAUCACCUCCGGGUACCUGAAGAAUCCUCACGUUUUGAAAGAUCAUGAACAAGUUCCUGCACUGUUGGAGUGGCUUGAGUAUAAAGGAUAUUGUUAUGAAGAAUAUAAUUCGAAAACUACUUGUAACAAGGACAAUAGAUGUUUAAUACAAUUAAGCUCAGGCUACCUUUGCAUUUGCUUUAGGGAAACAAGCUUUGACCGACACCACCAUGGAUAUUGCUCAGGUACAAUUUCGAAUACUAAUUAAAUUAAUUUCAUAUAUGAAGUGUAUACUACAUUUCCUUGAACCAACUACGUAUCUAACACAAAAUUAGUGAAAGUAAUUGCAGAAUUCGCAUAUGUAAAAAAGGAAAGAUUUAUAUAUAGCCAUAAUUUAUUUUGAUAUUCUAUUUCAUCUUUUGGGUUUGUUUAGGUUUCUUGUUCUAUAAUAUCACAAGCCCCUACAAUUACUCCUCAGGAUGUCCCAAAGGUUACUUUUCAGAUCCCAACUCAAGUAUCUGCGCCCAAAAUCGUAGGACAAGUUCAUAUGAACUUCUUCAAAUUAUGCACAAAAAUUCUCAUGUCAAAUUCAUUAUUAUAGGUAUGUAUUGGAAUUUGCAGAUUUUGUCGACAGAAUUAACUGAUUUUUAAUUACCGUAUAUAUAUGGGCUCACAAACGCAAAAACGUUCUGCACCUGAAAUUUGCAAUAGCAUAUACAUUUAUGAUCUCCUACUCUUAACAGACUAAACAGUUCCUUGCCAUAAAUCGCCGAACGCGUAUUAAAUAUUCUUGUCCUGGAGCGUUGCAGGUUGCAAUAGUGGGCUUGGAAUGUUGUUCCUACUAAUCGGAAUAUGGUGGUUGUGCAAGUUCGUUAAAAGAAGAAGAGAAACCAAGCUCAAACAGAAGUUCUUUAAAAGAAAUGGUGGUUUAUUAUUGCAACAACAAUCGUCAUCAAAUGAAGGUAAUACCGAGAAAACAAAAUUGUUUACUUCAAUGGAAUUGGAAAUGGCUACUGACAACUUCAAUACCAAUCGAAUCCUUGGUCAAGGAGGCCAAGGCACAGUGUACAAGGGAAUGUUGACAGAUGGAAGAAUUGCGGCUGUGAAAAAAUCCAAAUUAGUGGAUGAGAGUAAUAUUGAGCAAUUCAUCAAUGAGGUGGUAAUUUUAACUCAAAUUAACCACAGAAAUGUUGUUAAAUUGUUCGGGUGCUGCUUGGAGACAGAGGUUCCUCUUUUGGUGUAUGAAUUUAUUCCAAAUGGAACUCUCUAUCAAUAUAUACAUGACCAAACUGAGGAGUUCUCAAUCACAUGGGAAAUGCGUUUACGCAUUGCUGUAGAAGUUUCAAGUGCUCUAUCCUAUUUGCAUUCAACUACUUCUAUUCCAAUUUAUCAUCGAGACAUCAAGUCUGCAAAUAUACUUUUGGAUGAUAAAUUUCGAGCAAAAGUUUCGGACUUUGGGGCUUCUAGAUCCGUCACGAUUGAUCAAACUCACUUGACCACACGAGUACAAGGAACUUUUGGAUAUCUAGAUCCAGAGUACUUUGGGUCAAGUCAAUUUACAGAGAAAAGUGAUGUUUAUAGUUUUGGAGUUGUCCUUGUUGAGCUUUUAACUGGACAAAAACCUAUCCUUUCAACCGACACGGAAGAAGAUAAAAGUUUAGCAGGGGUUAUUUUCUCUCCGAGAGCAAAUGAAAAGAGAGAAACCAUUUUGUUUUGAUGUGUGCUUGAUGGCUCUCAAAGUUCUUUAAGAAAGCCCAAGGAAGGAAAGAGAAUUAUUUACCGUGGUUAUGGCUUGCAAAAAGGAUGCUUGAACUUUGAAGGGGAGGAAGAAGACUUCCUAGGAAAGAAGUACCAUUUGGAAUUUAGGGGGGAUUAGAGCUCAAAGUGUGAAGACAUUCAUCUUGUGGAUGCCAAUUUGAAACUGUCAUCUCCAACUGAGAGCCAUUUUAAAUGCUGUUGCUUUUUCUGUAGAUGCUAAUCCUUUGCUUUCAAACAAGUGGUGAUUAAAGGGAAGAAUUUUCCUUUAAAAUCUAAGUAUUUCAUUUCAUAAAUAAAUUAAGCUGUGGAUUUUUGCAUUAUGCUUCUCUUAUGGUUAAAAUUUUUCAUCUCUAGAAUAAAAUAUACAGAGUUUGAUGUUCGGUUUGUAAGCGGAGAAAUAAAUUUAUAAGGUAGAUUCCAACAAAGCAUCUGUGGCAAACAUAUUUAAAUAUCUAAGAAGCAAGCUUCUAAUGCUACCAAUAUUUAGGGGCCCUGUGCUUGAAGAAACAGAACUUUGAAGCUGACAGAGUGAGGCAUCUCAGCAUCUGAAUCUGCAUACAAGUGGAACAGGAGAUGCCGACAUGACAUCCUACGUGGAACUUAUGUGACACAUACAAUGAAUCCAGUUCGUUCCUAAUUCAUACGCUUACAUUGUAACCCCGUUCUGUGUGUUUCGAGUACCAUUGGCGAACCAUCACUUCGUGCCUUUGUAUUGCUAAUAGUACCUUUGCCUUGAUUGAUUUUGCUGACAAUAUAUAGGUUGUGUUUGGAAGUGAAGUACUAUAACUUUUAUGUUACGUUUACUUCCUGGAUUAGGGAAUCGGAAUCAUUAACAACGUUUAUCUCGCAAAAUAGAUUUAGGAAUCAAAAUCGGAAUCGGAAUCGUGGGACCCACCACAAUUUGGGAAUGAGCAAUGGGAGACUCAUUCCUAGGGGGAGGUGGGAAUGAGUCUCCCAUUUUCGGGAGUGACUGUUUUACCCUCCCCCAAAAUUAAAAAUGUUCAUAUUGUCCUCAUUUAUAAUUAAUUAAUAUAUUAUUAUAAUUAAUAAAUAAAUAAAUAUAUUGUUAACAAUAAUUAUUAAUAAUUUUAGUAUUUAAUAAAUAAUCACAAUAAUUAAUAUAUUAAUAUUAUUAAUUAAUUAUUAUAAUUAUUACUAUUAAUUAAUAUAUUAAUAUAUUAUUAACAAUAAUUAUUAAUAAUUUUAAUUUUUGAUAAAUAAUCACAAUAAUUAAUAUACUUUUAUUAUAAUUAAUUAGUAUACUAUUAUAAUAAUUACUAAUAUAAUUAUUUUAAUUAAUUCAUAUAUAUUAUUAAUUAAUUUAUAUAACUAUUACUAUUAAUUAAUAUGUUAGUAUAUUAUUAACAAUGAUAUAUUAAUAAUUAUAGUUUUGAAUAAAUAAUUACAAUAAUUAAUAUAUUUUUAUAAUAAUAGUUAAUAUAAUUAGUUAAAAAAAUUUACAAUUAAUUAAUAUAUUAAUAUAUUCUUGACAAUAAUUAAUAAUAAUAAUAAUUUUUUAAUAAAUAAUCACUAUAAAAUAAUAAUUAUGACAAUAAUUUGUUAAGUACUUUUUAGUAAUUUGUUACAAUUUAACUCAUUCUGAUUCCAAUUCCAAGAUAAAAUAAACACAUCAGUGGGAUUCUAGCUCAUCCUUAUUCUGAUUCAUGUAGGUCAACUAAACAAUUUAUUCUAAUUCUUUUUCCUCAUUCCGAUUCCAGCCCAUUCCAAUUACUAACAAGUAAACGCAGCAUUAAGAUGCAGAUGCUGUGGAGUAAAAGUCAUAGUUGUGGGAUAAAAGCUGCUAGUGUUUAGCAAAUUUUAAUAGUUGUAGAGUAGAAGCUAAUGGUGUUUGGUAAAUUUUAAUAGUUGUAUAGUGAAAGUUGAUGAAUAUUUGUAAUAAUUAAUUUUAAAUAAAAUUAUUUUUAAUUAUUAAUUAGUCAAAUUAUUUUUCAUAUUUUGAAUUAUCAUAUUAACUUAUGAUUAUGUUUAUUACUUUGACAAAUCAAAUUAAUAGUUAAUUAAUCAAAGUUAUUUUUCUUCACAAGCUGUAAUAAAUAUUUUUUAAAACAAAAUAAUUUAAAAAUUGAAAAUAAAUAAAUUCUAAUUUUACACAUUGAUUGUAGAAAUAAAUUAUACCAAAUGUGUCUAAUAAAGAUCAUACAACAUAACAUUAUCUACACAACUUAAAAGUGACUUUUAACCCACAAGUAUAAAAGUGUCUUGUUGUAUUAUAGCUCGGUGAGUCCAAGGUCGAUUCACAGAGAAAAUAUUUAAUUUGUUUAUUUUAUUUUAUCUAAAAAUGGAAAUAAAAUUUAAAUAUAAACAACUUAAUUUAAAUCAAAUUAUGAAAUUGAAUUAGUUAGGGUUAUGGAUCCACUCUUAGUAGUAAAUAAAAUUUAAUAAAUUCUUUUUACUAUUUUUUUAGAUUUAUUACCCAAAAGAUUAAUUAUGUAAAUUAUUAUUAUUUUCCUAUUAAUUUUAUUAUGGAUUAAGUAUUUAAUGUGCCAAAAUUUAAUUUUUCCACAAUAAAUCAAAAUACCAUUUUAUCAUACCUUAUAUUAAGAUAUUAAGAAUUUAUUGUGCCAAACUCUCUUGUUUGUCUACAAUAAAUCAAAAUUUCAAAAUAUAAAAUAUGUAUAAAAUUAAAUAGAAAAUAAUUUAAUUUAUAAAAUUAAAAAUAAAUUUUGAUUAAAUCAUAUUUAUUUCCUAAGAGUUUCACCUUACCCUAACUAUUAUUAUUUAGUUAAGAUAAUUGAAAUAAAAGUAAUUACUAAAAUUAAAUUAAACAUAAUUAAAAUGAAUAAAAAAACUAAAAUUAAAAAUAAAACUAAAUUUAAUUAUAAAAAUAAUUAAGCAAAAUAUUAAAAACACACCUGAAAAACAAGAUUACAGGGAGAUUGAGAGAAAUUGAGAAGACGAGAUGAUAAAAAACAUAAAAAGUGAGGCUCUAUUUAUAGAAAAAUAAAUUCAUGAUCCAGUGUCUUGCAGUCCAUCAUAAGCUUUAUGCAUGCGCUCUUCACAACCAUUAGAUCAAAGAUCCAACGGCUGCUCAAACUUCAAAAGUCAACAUCACACACAGCAUCAUGUGAAACGUCCGAUUCGGUCAAAGAACGGUUGAGAUUUGGCGGGUUAAUGGGUGGAUCAGAUUGACUCGAAUACAAAGGUUCGAAUCCUACAACUUACUUCACCAACCAUUGCCACGUGGCACAAUUGCGGCCAUUGAAUCAUGAACGGUUGAGAUUUAGUUAAAAUUGCAAGUUAUGCCAUGCACUCAUAUAUAUUGUAAGCUCACUUUAUCAUACAAUCAGUGCUCGGUCAACCGAAAACGUCAACCUUCUUUUACAAAAGCUCAAUUUUAAGCCGAUGUGGACUCAUCUUAAGGUUUUCAAACCUCCGGAAUCCAUAUUUGACAUCCGUUUAUCUGUUUGGAGCCUCGAACUAUGUGAAAUUAAUAUUUUACGUAAUAAACACACAAAAAUAUACAAAAUUAAAUAUAAUUAAGACAUAAUUAAUAAUUCCUAAUAUAUUGGAUAAACACAAAUAUAAAUGAUAAUAUAAUCACAAAAUAACAUUUUUAUCGCUUGAUAAUUAAACAAUUUUUAAUACCAAUCAAUUAUAAAAUUAAAAUGUAACUAAUUUCAAAAUUCUUAUAAACAUUUCCAUUGUCAUGCCUCCAUUAAACUUGCAACAAUGCCAUCUCUCAAGAUUAUUAUAUUUUGAGCUAUGUUAUCAAUUGUAUUAUAACUUUCUUUAGGAGACGCAAUCUUGCUUAUAUGUUCGUUAUUACUAUGACUUGGUUCAUCCAUUGUUUCAUCAAAAUGAUCAUGAUUUUGUGAAUAUCUUCUUAUGUAAUUAUGUAAGGCCAUGGUAGUAAUAACACUCGCUUCUUGAAUGUAUAGCUUGGCAUAUUUCGUAAAAUCUUCCACGUGUUAUUUCAAACCCCAAAAGUACCCAUUAGAGUUAGCAGUACUCUAAACACUAAGAGAUUCAGAUGCCUCAUUACUCUCUAAAGGAAAACCAAAUGAGGGAAGUCAAACAUGCUCACUCAUAACCACUGUGUUUGAACAUUAAAUUUAGGUUUUUCUCUAACUUUGGAUCAAUAACAUUUUUUCGAAAUCUACUCAAUUGCAAAUUUUCCUUUAUUUUCUUUUCCCACCAGUCUUCACUUGCAUCAACUAUCCAGGGGCAAAGCUAUGAGGGGGCUAACCCGGGCUGUAGCCUGGGUUAGUUUCUUGAAAAAAAAAAUAGUUAAUUAUAAAUUUAUUUAAAAAAAACUUAUAGUAAAAUAUAAAAUAUAACGAAUAAUUAUUGUCAAUAUCUAUUUUCUCUAAAUCGAAAAACUCACCUUCCCUGACUAAUUGAUCUAAUUAUCCAAAAUCUAAAUUCCCAAAGACUCAACUGUUCAAGUCAUUAACUUGCUGCUUUAUGAGUGACAGCCAGCCUCUACCGCACCCGCAUAAUCAUAUUGUCUUUGAAUUAGUUAUUAGCUUAUACUUUUGUCAAAUUUUUUGAUAAAAUAAUUAAUAAUUCUCUAAUAUAUUAUUAUCGCAGACAAUAUCAAUUCAGAUACGAUAAUACAUGAGUUUUCUUUUUUGAAGAAUCAGAAGACAAAACUUCUUUGAUAGUGUUUUUGAUUUACAUUGCACCUUUACAGUUUUAUUAUUAGUUUUUUGCUUGUCUAGUGUAUUUUAAUAAUUUCAUUUGUAUAGAAUAAAUUUUUUGAGAAGUAAAAUUGAAUUAAAAAAAAAAUCUAGCCCACCCCAAAAUAUAUUGCUAGCUUCGCCACUGCAACGAUCCAUAACCUAUGAUUCCACCCUAGACUAGCUUCCUAGCUAAUCAAAUUCUUCCACAGUUUCCAAUUAGUUCUAAUAGAAUCCCAUUUUUUUUUCAUCUGAAUUCUAUUGUAAUCCAAUCCAGUUUCUUUAGUGGAUUCCUUAAUUAAAUUUUCAUAUCCUUCGGAAGUCACAUGAGUCCUAGGACGAUGUUCGGCAUCCACUGCCUUAAUACAUAACUCACAAAAUACAUUUGAAGUCUGGGAGUUCCAGGUCGCCUUACUAGUUGAGCUAUUAGACAUAAUUGCGUACACUUAAACCUAGAAAAUAGAAUAAUAUUUUGUCAUCAAACAACAAUAUAGGAAAGAGAUUAAUUAAGAGCAAUACCCAAUUUUCUUUUUAAAACAAAUAACAUUAAUUAAGGAUGAAUUAUGUCUAGCAACAAGGAUGAUUUAUGCCUUACAUUACAUAUCCUGUUUCAAAAUGAGUUGUUAGUUUAAUAAACCUGGGGUUUCCUCUAAUUAAAUACCAUGUUUCGAAGAAAUUAAAAUAUUUUUUCUCAAUAGUUUAAUUUUUUGUAGUUACCUUUAAGUGAAUCCUUUAAAAUUUAUGAGAAGCUGAAAUGAUUUGUUCAAAAACAUGUAUUGUUGGAAUAUAUAGGAAUUGGUUACUUGUUUGUUGCUGCCUUUAAUGAUUUUUAUUACGGAAAUUUCAUCAAACAAGGAUUGUGCAUGUCUAUAAAAAGCAACUAAAAAAAAUUAAAAAUGCAAUAAAAAUAGUGACUUCAAAGCAAAUAAAUCACACGUGACCAAUCACCUAUUAAUUUAUUCUAAGUAAAAGCUCCAGUACAUUCUGAACAAAAAGGAAGAAAAUGAAAAAUUACAUGUAACAAAGUAAAGGAAAACUCAAAAAAUGAACAACGGGUAAAGGAAAAUGCACAUUACUUAGAUAUUUUAAAAACAAAGAUAGAACAUAUUUGUAUGAAAAUGACUGGUGUCAGAAUCGUGUCAAUGAGAAUUACCGAUGUUGCAUCGAUGAGAACUGUCGAUAUUGGAAUCAUGCUAAUAAGAACAAUGUUUAGAGUUUGUUUUAUGGAAAAAUCAAUUUGAGUUUAAGUUUAAAAAUGAGGAGGAUAAAAUCGAAAUUAAAUAAUAUGUAAGGGUAAUUUAGUAAUUUAAUAUAUAGCUAAGAAAAAUUUUUGCUUACCUGCUAAAGCCCGACUCCAAAGUGUUACUACUGAAAAUGAGGGGAUGAUAUAUGGAAAAAAGAAGCUUCAUUUUAAAUUAAUGCACAAAAACAAUUUAAAGAUUUAAGAGAUCUAAUUUGUCGUUUCAUUUCACUAAAAUGUAUUGAUAGAUAAAAUUAGCCAUUAGGUGUGUCUUAUCCUAAAAUUAAUCUUUCACGAAGUCCUUAGAAACAAUAAAAUACUAUUACAUAGCCCGGAAAGCGUUUGUAUUAAGUUAUAGAAUUAGGUGUCUCUUACACAUAUGUCUUCCCUGAAUAAAAGCGUUCGUAUUAAGUUAUGAAAUGGUGGAUUAUUAUGCCAAACAAACGGCUAUUUCCCUUUCAAAAUUAUUAAGUUAUGAAAUGGUGGAUUAUUAUACCAAACAAACGGCUCUAUCCCUUUCAAAAUUAUUGGACGUAUUUUUCAAGGAAACCUCCUCUAUCUUUCUUCCAAUUAAUGUCCAGUUAAGACUUCCGUGGGUCCAAUUAAUGUCAAUCGUUUUUGAAUGUGUACAGGAUAACAACUUGAAGACUUGAGAGGGCCAGCGUUAAUUCAAAGUCAAGACUAGGCUAUUACCCUGCAGGAUUCUUGAUAGUGAGGUGAAAAAAAAAAGGGUUGAAAGAGAUUAGGAUUUAACGCUGAGUUUAGUUUUUAUUGACCACUAAGUUAAUUAUUAAAAUUUAUUUUGUGCUUUUUCUUUCAUUUAUCUUACAUAACAAUUAUUUAUUGAGAUUCUUGUCCAAUUGAAAGAUAUUAGAUAAAAGGUUAUUAAAACUUUAGUUAUUUUUGUGUAUAAAACAAAAACUUUGGAUUAUUUAGUUUCAAAAGAAAAAAAAUCGAGACUUUGAGUUGCUUUGGAACAAAUUAUAUUUGAAAUUGAAAAGAAGAAGAAAAAAACCAUACAACGAGAAAGAGAAAAUAUAAAUGGGGUUAAUUCUAAUAAUAUGUCCUUAAAUAUAAUUGUAUAUAAUAGGGGUUUUAUAAGAUUAAUGAAGAGGUGAUCCAACAUUUUCACAAUUUGUUUUCAAUUUUUAUUCAUCACCCCGAUGCCCCAAUUUAUUUUCGUUAUUAUGUAGGUGUGGUGUUACUAGAAAUCAAAUGCUGCCUUUUUUUUCUUUUUUCUUUUUUCUUUUCUUUUCCUCUCCUCUCCUCACUUAUAGUGGAAUAUGGAGAAUUAAACAAAACCAAUUCCCAAUCAACGUUAACAUACGUUAUAUAAUAUAUUACACAUUACAAUUAUUUGUAUUUGAACCAGACUCGAAACAAAAAUUGGGUAGCCGCUUGCUGGAUUUUGUAUGGAACUUAGAGGAGAAACUUGGUAAUGAAGUGUGUGGAGGUGCGGAGACAACAGUCAGUAGGCGGUAGCAGCAGAUCUGGUCGUGGUCCUCACAGAGCAGUAGAUCAGCUGGCGGUUGGCGUUGGCGGUGAUUGUGGCGAGCGUGUGUUGGUUGCGGCUGUGUGUGUGUGUGUGUGUGUGUUUCUACUUGUGUUGAGUGUUGACUUGAGGGUGGGGAAGUGACCCAUGAGGCGUGAAGGAGGGGAGUAGAGGCUGGAGUGCGCUGUGUGGUCUCUCGUUGAGGUUUGAGGGGGAGGUAGUGAGGCGUGAGGGAGGGGAAUGAGGCUGCUGGGUACGGCUGGGUGCGCUGAGUGUGUGGUCUACUAGUUUUAUGCCUCUAUCUCUACUCGUUUUGUGCCUCCAUCUCCGUGAUGUGUGUCGUAUACGUGUGUGGUGUGUGAGGCUAUGUAGUGUGUGGUCUGUGCUCUGCAGCGUCACUAGUGCUUGAGUGCUUGUUGUUGGAUGCAUGUGUGUUGUAUCAGUGUGGGUUGUUCACUUUCUUCUUUAAGCCAACCCAUUCAGGUUAUCGAAUUGGAUCAGAUUUCACCCGAUCCGAUCGGGUUGGCAACAUUUGAUCCGAUCGGAUAUUAUGGUCAAUCCGAUCCGAUCUGAACCUAAUUUUUUUCGGAUCGAAUCGGGUUGGAUUGGUUAUUUUGCCCACCCCUACUGCCCACUGUCCCCCCUUGCCUCCUCACCAUACAAAUAACAAUUGAAAAUUAGGCCAAUUAAAUUAAAGGCAAGACGGGAUGGAAAUAUGGAAUCGUUAAUUAUUAUACCCAUGACCCCUCUAAUUAAUGGUUAUUUCCCUUUUGAUAUUAUUGUACGUGUUUGAAAGGAAACCUCAUCUAUCUUCCUUCCAAUUAAGACUAUUGUAUGUCCAAUUAAUGUAAAUUGUUUUUGAACGUGUAGAGGAUAACAUGACAAUGCGGAGACAUUUAAAGUUGAUUGAUAGAAGGAAAAAAUUUCCUAAAUAAUGAAGUUAAUUGAAAAAAUUUUAAAUUAACAAAACUAGAGUUUUAGAUCUUUUUAUAUAAUAACUUUAACUAUAAUAAAAUUCUCCUAAUCUGAAUAAAAAAUCCAAAACAAACAGUGCUCAAAUAUGUUAUUUAGGAAAAAAAAGAUAAAACUUUUAGAAGAAAUAAGAAAAAAUGGACGAAUAUCUUAAAAACGAAAAAUGACAAGGAAAGAAACAAAUUUCUAGGCUCAAGUAAGGCCCAAAAUGGCAUAAGCUUUAUAAGCUUGAUUUGUCUUCUCGUAAACUUUAAAACGAUAUAUUAUACACUCAAAACGGAUACAUAUGGCCUAAAUUACGCCCUUUGGAAAGUACCCUUCUCAUCCCACACGCCCAUCAUACAUUAGUCCCUCUCACUUGGAAAAGAACUCGCCAUCGAGUUUGACUCGUACAACGCCUCAUCAUCUAAAUGAUAUUUAAACAGAUCAACCAUAUUGAAUGUGUAAGAGAUCUUCUAGUUGUCCGGUAGUUGGAGAACAUAAGAAUUAUUAUUAAUCUUCCUUGCCACACGAAAUGGUCCAUACUUGAUGUGGACUUGCAUCACUUUCCCGUGUCGAUGCCUGUUCGCAUCGACCUUGUACAUAGCAUUUGCAACCUCCAAAUGAGCUCGUACCUUGGCAUGAAUCUGUAGAGCCCUUUCUUUUCUACCACAUUAUUCACUAUUUUUUAUACGAACCCCAUCAAGAACUAACACGACCCUAAUCAAUUUAGUUCCUAAGAUCGAAUCUAAACCAGGAAUUGAAUGGAACCCCGACCCAAUGCUUAAUGAAAGCACGAACCUUGGUAUGUGAAGACGCCACAAUCAGCUAUGGAUGGUCUGAUUGAUAAGUCAAGAGUUUGAACGUCACGGAAAUUCAAUAAGUUCAAAGAGUUUGUAAAGAACCAAAGAGAAUUAACUCUCUCACCAAUUGCAUCAAAAUUUAUCUCUGCUUAUUGGAUACGAAUACAUUAUAUGGGGCUGGUUACAAGAAUUUUUGGAAAUAAAUCCUAAGCCAAAAAUCAAAUCUGAAUAUGAAUAUAAACAAAUAGGAAAGAAUAUAAAUCAAAUUAGAAUCCUAAUCUAAGUAAAUAGGAAAGAAUAUAAAUCAAAUCAGGAUCCUAAUUGGCUUAAAUGUCUUACAUCAAUUAAAAUGGAAACUAGGCGAUUAAAAUAGAAAUAAUUGAUUUGUUUCCUUAAUAGCCUCCUCAAGAAACGAGAAAGUAUCUGAAAAAAAGAAAAAUAAUAUAUUUUCCCGCCAUAAUGUGCAAGCCAACUCCUUAUUUCAUGGAAAUAAUUAUUUGGAAACUUCAAGAGCCUAAAUCAUCCAUUUAUCACGAUUCCUUCAACGGGCCUCCACGAAUUUGAUUGAGCCCAAGUUGCUUGAAUCAAUCCAUUACGCGCUUCUUUGAAUUUCUUUGCUCGAUCUCUUGUAACAGGUCCGACGGGAACUUGAGUAGGAUCUGAAUAUGCCUCAUCCCAUGUGUUUGUGAUAGUUUUAUCCUUAAUCUCAUCAUUCCCCUCCUUUUGAAGAGGAUUUGUCCUCAAAUCAUCACCUACAUCAAAAGAACUCAAAUUAGAAACAUGAAAAGUAGCACUUACAUUGUACUCACCAGGAAAAUCCAGUUUCUAGGCAUUGUUAUUGAUCCGUUCCAAAACUUGGAAUGGGCCAUCCCCUCGAGGUAAUAACUUAGAUUUCCUUUGUUUAAGAAAUCGUUCCUUGUGCAUGUGUAACCACACCUAAUCGUCGGGUUCAAAGACUAGCUUAUGUCGCCCUUUGUUAGCUUGUUUAGCAUAUUGCUCAAUUAUCCUCUCAAUGUUGAACUUCGCCUUUUCAUGUAUCUGUUUAACAAUUUCAGCCUUUUUCUUGCCAUCUAAGUUAACACGAUAAAAAAUAGGUAAUGGAGUUAAAUCCAAUGGGGUUAAAGGAUUAAAACCAUAAACAAUUUCAAAUGGUGAAUACUUAGUAGAAGAAUGAACAGAACGAUUAUAAGCAAACUCAACCUGUGGUAAACAAUAUUCCCAAGUUUUGAUGUUCUUUUUAAUGAUAGCUCACAACAAAGUAGAUAAAGUUCUAUUCACAACUUCUGUUUGACCAUCAGUUUGUGGGUGAAAACAACAACUAAGUUCCUAACUUAGCCCAUAAUAUUUUCCAAAAGUAACUUAAAAACUUAACAUCCAUAUCAGAAAAAUUGUCCUGAGCAUACCAUGCAACCUUACAAUCUCCCUAAAGAAUAGGUCAGUGACAUUAUAAGCAUCAUCCGUUUUGUGACAUGGAAUAAAAUGUGCCAUAUUUGAAAAUUUAUUUACAACCACAAAAAUUGAGUCUUUCCCUUGUUUAGACCUAGGUAAACCUAGUACAAAAUCCAUCGAAACAUCAGUCCAAGGUGCACUAGGUAUUGGAAAAGGGGUGUAUAAGCCAUAAGGUUGCACUUUCGAUUUGGCUUGCCUAUAAGUGACACAUUUACUACAAAGUCUUUCAACAUCUCGUUUCAUAUGUGGCCAAUAGAAGUGUUCCUGUCAAACUGCUAGUCUUUACAACUCCAAAAUGCCUUAUUAACCCUCCUCCAUGGGAUUCUCUCACUAACAAAUCUCUCAAAGAACGGUUAGGCACACAUAAUUUAUUCUCCUGAAAUAAAUAGUCAUCAUGCCUAAAGUAUUUACUGACUGUGGUCUUUUCACAAGCUUGGUAUUCAACAUUAAAAUCAUGGUCAUCAGCAUACAAUUCCUUAAUAUGUUCAAAACUAAGUAGUUUAGCAUUAAGUGUUGAUAUUAAGACAUACCUGCGGGAAAGCGCAUAUGCAACAAUAUUUUUUUACCUUACUUGUAACGAAUGACAUAUGGAAAUGUCUCUAUGAAUUUUACCCAUCGAACAUGCCUCUUGUUCAGCUUGUGUUGGCCUUUAAGGUGUUUUGAGGACUUAUGAUCGGUGUGAAUCAUGAACUCCUUAGGCUAUAGGUAGUGUUGCGACAUUUCUAACGCUCGAACCAGCACAUACAACUCCUUAUCAUAAGUAGGGUAGUUUAAGUUUGCCCCACUCAGGUUUUCACUAACGUAAGCAAUUGGUCGUCCCUCCUACAUUAGGACUGCACCAAUACCAAUCCUGAGGCAUCGCAUUCAAUUUCAAAUGUUUUAUUAAAGUUAGGCAAAGAGAAUAAUGGAGCAUUUGUCAGCUUUUGCUUGAUCAUUUGAAAUGUCUCCUCUUGUGCUUCUCCCCACUUGAAUCCAACAUUUUGUUUUAUUACUUUAGUAAGCAGUGCGGCUAGUGUGCUAAAGUCUUUCAUAAAUCAUUGGUAGAAACUAGCGAGCACAUGAAAGCUUCUCACAUUACUUACACUUGUGGGACUCGGCCAGUCUUGGAUUGCACAUACCUUUUCCUCAUCAACUUGUAUACCAUGUGCACUGACAAUAAAUUCUAGAAACACACAUUUAUUUUCUAAGCAUGUCUAAAAAAAAUUUCAAAUGUAUUACAUGAUCGUUUAUGUUUUUGCUAUAAAUGAGGAUAUCAUCAAAAUAAACAACAACAAACUUGUCAAUAAAAGAUCGCAAGACAUGAUUCAUAAGUCUCAUAAAAGUGCUCGGGGCAUUAGUUAGACCAAAAUGCAUGACUAAUCAUUCAUAUAAACCAUAUUUUGUUUUAAUGGCAGUUUUCUAUUCAUCUUCUUCUUUCAUUCUAAUAUGAUGAUAUCCACUUUUCAAAUCAAUUUUGGAAAAUACACAAGACCCAUGUAAUUCAUCAAGCAUAUCAUCUAACCUAGUAAUGAGAUGUCGAUGCUUUACCGUUGUGUUGUUGAUGGCUCGACAAUCAACACACAUCCUCCACAUCUCAUCCUUCUUAGGAACUAAUAAAACGGGAAUUGCACAUGGACUCACGCUUUCUCUCACGUACCCUUUUUUCCAUUAAUUCAUUAACCUGCCUUUAAAGUUCCUUGGUCUCCUCCAGGUUGCUCCUAUAGGCUGGUCUAUUUGGAAUGGUUGUACCGGGCACAAAAUCAAUCUGAUGCUUAAUCCCUUGGAUUGGAAGUAAACCAUGUGGUGCUUCCUCAGGAAAGAUAUCCUCAUACUCCUGUAAACGAGAAGUAAUAGAACUAGGCAAGGUAUGGUCAAAUUCGUUAGUGCUUAAAAAUGUCUCUUUGUACAAAACUACAAUCAUCGACUGAUGUAAAAACAAUGCUUUUUUAAUCUCAUUGGCUCUCGCGUAGAAAUUCUUUUGUUUUCCAUCUGAUUUUCGCUCAAUGGGCGCAUUUUUCUUUGGUUUUUCUCUCACAUUUUACUCUGCCUCGUUUUGAAUUUCACUACCUUUUUCUCUCAUUUUCUUUUGCUCACUCUUUCUUUGUAAGCUCACUUGGUCUCCAUAAGCCUACUUUGGUGUCAAUGGAACAAGAGUGAUGUUGUAUUAAUUAAAUACAAAUGAAUAUUUAUUGGUGAAGCCAUCAUGCUUCACACGUCUGUCGAAUUGCCAAGGCCACCCAAGUAAUAAGUGUCUAGCCUGCAUUGGCAUUAUAUCACAAAGCACCUUAUCUUCAUACUUUCCAAUCCGAAAGUCACUAGUAACUACUUGUUCACUUGCACCUCACCACUGUCAUUUAACCAUUGUAAUUUAUAUGACCAUGGGUGUUUAAGUGUCGGAAGCCCUAACUUCUCUACCAUGAUAGUACUAGCAACAUUAGUACAACUUCCUCCAUCAAUAAUCAUACUACAUACUUUGUCUUGAGCAUAGCACCUAGUAUGGAAAAUGUUUUCCCGUUGCACUGCUUCGUCUUCCUUUACUUGUACACUCAAACCUCUCCUCGCUACUAAAGUCAAUUCCCCAGGGGCUAUUGUUGUGAAAAUUUUAAUAUACUCGCAAGCGCACGAAUCUAGAAAUAAAAUAGUGGUAACGAGGUCGAUCCCACAGGGAAUGUUAUAAAUUGUAAAGUCUAAUUUAAAUCUAAAAUUAAUAUUAAUCCUAACCUAGUUGAGCAAAUUGAGUUUUAAAAGAAAUUAAACUAAUUAAACUAACAAAGCAAUUAAAGUAAAUGAGAUUUCAAUAAGACAAAAAUUACCAAGGUUUCAAAAUCUACCACUAUUCAACUAGUAAUUAUCCAAUUAUUAAUUAAUCCCCAAUUUUAGAGUGACAACUCGAAAUUAAUCUAUGUCAUCUCAUGGAUAUAACAAUUAAGCCCAAAUAAAAUUAAUCUUGUGUAGGUUCUUUUUCUGCUUAAUAGUGUGAUAUUUAAGCGUCCCAUAUAAACAUAUUGAAUAACAAAGAGUCAAAGUUUCCUAAUUACUCUGUGUAAACAAUUUAAUGAAAGACAUAGAAUCAAAGAUAAUCAUGUAUAAACUUUAUAGAUGCAAGCAUAGAUUUAAUCGAAUAGUAAUCCUAACAAUCAACAAUGCAUGACAGAAUUGAUGAAAAGAUUUUAAUAACAUCCAACUAAUCAUGUGAAAUAAAAACCAUAAUCAUCAAAGAAUAUAUAUAGGGAAUUAAUUAAAUAAAAAUAUAAUUAUUUCAUUGAAUAGGGUUUCAUUCUUAACCUCAGCAUAAGAAAAUUAGCUAGACAUACUUGAAUUGGGAGCAACAAAAGAAAUAAAAUCAGCCAUGGAAAAAGUAAAUUGCUUCAGCUCUUCCUUUUCCUCUCUGCCGAAGCAUUUGCUUCCUUUUUCUUCCUCUGGCGGCUGCCCUUCUCCAAAAACCAAAAGCUUGCUUUUAUAUUACUCUUUAAAAUGGGCCCCACUGACCUUGUUAUUUCUUAAGCCAAAAGGCUUGGCCUUUUAAUUUUCUUUGCUCUCACUCACGUGCUCACCAAUUAAGCUUGCACUAGGAUUCUUUUUUCCACUUAUGAAAGCCAAGUGUGGGUCCUUUUAAGUUGCUUUCCAUGCAUUACAAUGCCAUGCACGUCCAGCUCACUUGAAAAAUUGAAAUUCUUUUUGAGUGCAAAUUACUCCUGUCUUUACAUGCUAUAAACUCUUAAUUGUGUCACGGCUUUGUUUCCCAAACUUGUUAUUCUUUAUGGACUUUUCAUUCUUAAUCUCCAAUUAAUUCCCUAUUCAAUAAAACAAUUCAAUUAAUUAAAAAUAACAAAUAAAAAUAACUAGCAAUUAUAUAAUUAAGGGUAAAAUAUGUAUAUAAAUUAUGCUCAUCAGCUAUAUACUCUUCGUAUUUAACGUCCUCUAAUGGUGGCAUCUCAUUUUCUUCCGUUUCAUCUUCAGUUACAAUCUUACCAUUGUCUCACAACAUCAUAACUCUCUUAUUCACACAUUCACUUGCGAUAUGCUUGUUGUCUUGAUAUUUAAAACAGUUAAUGUCACAAUUCCUAAUAGUAAGAGGCACGGUGUUACCUUGUGAAUUGUGCUUGGAGGGCUCAGAUCUUAGCUUAGGUGCAAUAGAUGCUUGUAGCCUCUCAUCUCGUUUCACACAUAGCUCGACUUCCAAUGAGUGGAACUCAAGCUUGGGGCUGCACGGGUGUUACCCCUCCUGUUGAGUUGCUGCUCAAUCUUGAUGGCUUUGUGUACCAUCUCAUAAAUCUUCACAUAAUGUUGAAACUCAACCUUAUCUGCUCUAUCAUCCUCCACAUUUGCUCUAAUCAUGACAAUCUCCAUUUCAUUAUAAUAAUCCUUCAUGCUUCGGCUACCAUGUGUAAGAUUUGUAAUUUUUUGUACAAGUCUCAAUAAUAGAGGUUAGGUACAAAAUGUCUUCUCAUCAAUGAUUUCAUUUCAUCCCAUAUCUCAACUGGACAUUCUCUAUUUCGCCUCUUACUUAUAACAAGUUUAUCCCACUAAGUAAUAACAUAGUCAGAAAACUCAAUCACAACCAAUUUUACCUUUUUUGCCUCUGAAUAAUUGUGGCAAUCAAAUAUGAACUCUUUUUUCUUCUUCCAUUCAAGGUAUGCUUCUGGGUCGGAUUUUCUUUGAAAAGAUGUGAUCUUCAUCAUUAUGCCACUCAAUCCAUUAUCUCUAUUCCUAACUCUCCUACCUCGUCCAUUUCUCCUAUAGCUACCCACUAGGUCAUUCCCUUCAUCAUACCCAUCCCUAUAAUAGUCAUCAAUCUCUCUUCUAGCUGGAGAUCUUUCUCUUCUACGUGCUUGGGGAACAUGUUGUGGCUGCCCUGCACGUGUGUUCUCUACUUGAUCCAAACGCUCGUGUAUGAGCUCUAAUUCAGCUCUCAUCAUCCUUCUUAUCAAAUUAUAGGAACCUCGUGUGUUCUCCACUUGGUUGCCCUGCACGUGUGUUCUCCACUUGGUUGCGAUGCACGUAUGUUCUCCACUUGGUGCUUAGGCUUUGAUACCAAAUGAUAGGAACCCCGUCAAGAACUAACGCGCCCCUAAUCAAUUUAGUCCCCAAGAUCGAAUCUAAACCAAGAAUUGAAUGGAACCUCGACCCAAUGCUUAAUGAAAGCACGAACCUUGGUAUGUGAAGAUGCCACAAUCAACUAUGGAUGGUCUGAUUGAUAAGUCAAGAGUUUAAACGCCAUGGAAAUCUGAUAAGUUCAAAAAGUUUGUAAAGAAUCAAAGAGAAUUAACUCUCUCACCAAUUGCAUCAAAACUUAUCUUUAUUUAUUGGAUACAAGUACAUUAUACAGGGUUGGUUACAAGAAUUUUUGAAAAUAAAUCCUUUACCAAAAAUCAAAUCUGAAUCGGAAUCUAAACAAAUAGGAAAAAAUCUAAAUCAAAUCAGAUUCCUAAUCUAAGCAAAUAGGAAAGAAUCUAAAUCAAAUCAUAAUCAUAAUCUAAGUAAAUAGGAAAGAAUCUAAAUCAAAUCAAGAUCCUAAUUGGCUUAAAUGUCUUACAUCAAUUAAAAUAGAAACUAGAUGAUUAACAUAGAUAUAACUGAUUUGUUUCCCUAAUAGCCUCCUCAAGAAACGGGAAAGUAUCUGAAAAAAAGGAAAAUAAUAUAUUUUUCCGCCAUAAUGUGCAAGCCAACUCCCUAUUUCAUGGAAGUGUUUAUUUGGAAACUUUAAGAGCUUGAAUCAUGCAUUUAUCAUGUGCGAUUCCUUCAACAGGCCUCCACGAAUUUGAUUGAGCCCAAGUUACUUGAAUCAAUCUAUUAAGUGCUUCUUUGAAUUUCUUUGCUUGAGCUCUUGUAACGGGUCCGCCGGAACUUGAGUAGGAUCUGAAUAUGCCUCAUCUCAUGUGCUUAUGAUAGUUUUAUCCUUAAUCUCAUCAAUUUUACUCCCUCAAACUGCUAUGGGCAUGAUAGCCAGAUCAUAAACAUGGCAUGGGGAACAAGUGUAGACAAUCUCAUAAAAGGUCUUACCACCAUGUUAUUGCAAGCAAACUUGACUUGAGGCAAGAUAGCUUCCCAAUUCUAUUGCUUGUCACCAUAAACAUAACACAACAUAUUGACCAGAGUGCGAUUGACCACCUCUAUUUGACCAUUUGUUUGCAAAUGAAAAGCACUACUAAACUGUACUGAAUUUAUCCUAUAGAUGAUGCCAAAACUUGCUGAUAAACUUCACAUCCAUGUCAGAAGUAAUAGUCUUUAGCAUACCAUGCAAACUUACCACUUCUUCAGAGAACAAAUGUGCAACUAAAGCAGCAUCUUCAGUAUUCUUACAAGCAAUAAAAUGCACAAUCUUUGAAAACAUAUUGAUCACAGCCUAUCAAUAUGUUCCCUUAAAAACUUUGAGGCAUAUAUAACUAAUUAGAUUUGAACAGAUACCCAUCUUGAAUAAGGAAUUCUUUUACAUUUUGAUGAUUAAUACACCAAUCUUAAAUAUGCGCAAAGUUUUCCUCCUUAGCAUACAACUCCCUCAAGCAUUCAAAACCAGUAACUUCAAUGACGAGAACAGUAAAGUAGCUUGCCUACUAAGUGCAUCUGCUAUCUUAUUCUAUUGCCCAAAUUUAUACUUCACAAUAAAAGUGAACUUUUACGUAUAGCUCACCCAUCUUGCAUGCAUCUUGCUCAUAUGUUGUUGGUGUUAAAGUACUUGAUUGCUUGAUGGUCACUAUAAGGUACGAACUCUUUGCAAAUCAAGUAAUGUUCUUAUGACUUCAACACUCUGAGGAUUGCAUAAAAUUCUUAGUCGUAAGUAGACCAUUUAUGUCAUGUUUUAUUUAACUUCUCACUUAUAUACAUAAGUGGUCGUCUCUCUUGAGAAAGAACAGCCCCAAUACCAUUACCAUAAGCAUCACAUUCAACCUCAAACAACUUGAUGAAGUUUGGUAAGGCUAACAUAGGAGUAGUAAAAAAAUUCUCUUUUAAUAAAGGAAAACUCGCACUUCGCAAUAAGUGGGGCUAUGGUACUAAAACUACAAAUAAAUAUCUUAUAAAACAUCGUCAACCAAUGAAAACUCCUAACUUCACCUACUGUCUUCGGCAUAGGCCAUUCUUUAAUGGCUUGUAUCCUCGACUCAAUAGCUCCAAUCAUAUCUACAUCAGUUAUAAAACCAAAAAUUCCACAUUACUUUACAGAAAGCUACAUCUUUAGAUUAAUGAAAAGUUUAUUUUUUUGCAACAUCUUUAUAAUCAUUCUCAAAUGUUCUAGGUGUGCCACCACAUCAACAGAAUAAACUAAGAUACUGUCAAAAUUCACUACAAUAAAUUUACAGGAAAAAGGCUUAAAACUUGAUUCAUUUAGUGCAUAAAAGUGCUUGACACAUUAGACAAUUAGAAUGGCAUAAAAAACCACUCAUACAACCCUUCGUUUAUUUUAAAUAUUGUCUUCCACUCACCAUCAGGCCUAAUUUUGAUAUUGUGAUAUCCAUUAUGCAAAUAUAUCUUUGAGAAAACUCGAGCAUCAUUUAGUUGGUCUAAUAACUCUUGAAACGUAGAAUAGGAAAUCGAUACUUCACUAUAAUAUGGUUAAUUAGCCUACUGUCUGUACAUAUAUGCCAACUCUCAUCCUUUUUUGGUACCAACAAAGUUAGUAUAGUACAUGAACUCAUGCUCUCAUGAAUGAAACCUUUCCCUAACAAUUCAUCAACCUGCCCUUGUAAGAUCACAUGCUUGUGAGGGCUCAUACGAUAAUGGGGCAAGUUAGGUAAACUUGCACCAUAUCUCAUAAAGGUGGCAGCCCGUCUAACAACUUUAGUGAUCUAAUAUCAACAAACUCAAUUAAUAAUGGCCGUACUUUUUUCAAAAACAAUCUUCACCUUUAAUUCUUCUUUUUUCUCUAGCUUCUAGCAAUCAUCGCAAUCAUCUUCUUGAUGAUUUUUAACAACCUUAGUAUUCCUCUUUUUGUUCGUUAAAGGCAUCAACGAACCUUUUUGUUAUUCCACCAAAACUCAUACAUAUUAUCCUCUCUUCUAUACUGUAUCAACAUCAAAUUGCUAAAGUUUACUAAAUAAUAGAUGGCACGCAUCCAUAUUCUUUACAUCGCACAACACAUCACUCUUAUAAAUCUUCCCAAUGGAGAAAAGAACACAACAUACCUUUAUUACUUGCAUUUCUGUCUUUUUAUUUAUCAAUCGUAUUCUGUCAGAUACUGGAUUUUUUUGGUUAAAAGUCCUAUCAUGUCAAAUAGCACCUUUGAAAAUAUGUUCUCGCUACUGCCACUAUUAAUUAUAAUGUUGCACACCUUGUCAUUGAUAAUGCCAUAUGUUUUAAAAAUCUUAUUGCGCUGAUUAUCCUCUUUAAAUUUCAAUGCUAAUAAACUCUUUUAUAUAAUACAAUUUAGUCUCUCCUUCAUUUGCUUCAAACUCUAAAGCUUCUUCGUCAUCCCCAUUCUCAAUGUCGUUCAACUUUGUCUUGCUGACUUUAGCCUCUACUAAAUUCAAAUUUUUAAGAUGAUAGUCACUUGAUCGAUGGCCUGGCUCCCUACACUUCAAACACUUGUUCAGCAUAGGCUUCACUAUAAGUGAUUGUAUCUACUAUCUCAUCUUAUAUCUCUUGUUUUAAUCUACCAAUAUAUUUCGUAACUAUUCAAAAUUAUGGCUCAUCCAUAUUAUUUUUAGUGUGUAGACGAUAAAAUUCCUUUAUGUAUUCAUCGGCAUUGUGAUUUCCUUACCUUCAGUUUUGAUAUUUAAAAUAUAGUUGCUACCAGUAAUCUACUGGCAGGAAAUACUCUCUCAUCAUCCUCUGCAUUCUAGGCCACAAUUUCAUAAUUUUUUUUGCAACUUUUCUUUAGUUUUGUAUGUAUUGCCAUCAUGCAGAAGCUACGAAAGCUUAACUCACUUCUCUUGAGGAAUCUCUAUAUACUCGAAAAAAUUAUCCACUUGUGAUAUCCAGUCUAAAAAUUUUUCAACAUGCCUCCCACAAAAAAAAAUCCAGAAUAUUAACAUUAAUCUUGUAAUCUGAACUCUUUUUGCGCCCCUAUCAUCCUCUACAUAUUCUUCUUCUUCUUAAUCGUUUCUUAGCUCCUUACGCACACGUAUUGGUUUUCAUCACGCAGGGCCUAAAUUUUGAGGUACUACUUCACCAUUGAUGCCUUGAGGUUUUAUUUCAUGACCAAUCGCUUGAGGUAUCUCCAUGUAGUUGUAAUCUUCAGGUUGUACACCACGAUUGACUCUUUGAAGUACUUCCUUGUGAUUAAAUUUUUGUUGUUGACCUCUUUUUCUGUUUUUGUUCAAGCAAAACUUAAGACUCAUGAUUGUCUCGCUCUAUCGCCACCAAUCUCGAGUUAUAAGCUUCCUCAAUUGCUUUCAAGGUUGCUUCUCUAGCCGCCCGUCUGACAGCCUCCACAGUCCUUGCCUGCAUCCCUUUAUUAACAUGUAUUUGUCUAUAAUGAUGAUUUUGAUGAUAACAAAUAAGAUUAAGAAUGAUUAAAUUUUUAAAAACUCAAAUUAUUUUUCAUACAUUUUAAAUAAAUCAUUAUUUUCAUAUAAUAAAGGUUUUAUAUUCAAAGGUAAAGUGAUUUCAUGAAAUUGGUUGUUUUUCAAGUUCAUGGUCUAAUUGAAAAAAAUUUGAGAACUUUAAAAUCAACAAGUAUUGCUCAAAAUUCUAGAAAUGGACUUGUUUGAAAAGUAUCAUAAAGUUAUGGGCCAUAGUAUAAGUACAAAAAGUUUUGGGGCAAAAAUAUAAUUUUAGAAAAUAGUUUCAUUGUAGUAGUCACUGUAGCAAACAGCUAACCGACAAAAAAAAAAAAAAUUCAAGAUUAGCCUCUGGACACUAACGGCAAACCGACUUCUUGAAAAUGGUAAACCGACAUCUUCUUUGCAAGUCACCGGACGAUAACGGCGAUCCGAAAUUUCAAUAACGGUGAUCCGACAAUUUGAAAUUCUUUCCAAUGGUAACUUGCUCAAGUUAAAACGGAAAUUCGACUUCUAUAUAACGCCGAUCCGACUUGGAGCAAAUUAUCUGUAACGGCUAUUUUUCAGCUCAAACUAUAAAAAGGCUCACUUAAACACAAACAAUGGAGAUUCCAACUACUAUCAUUGAGCAAACUAUUGAGCAUACAACUUUCAUUGAGCUUUAAAUUCUUGUAUUCAUCUCAAUUAUUCACAUACUAGGAUUUCAUUUGUAAUCAAACACAUUGUGUGAGAGAGAUUUAUUUGUAAUCCUUUUUGUAAAAUCAAGUUGAGAGGUUGUAAGUGUUGGGAUACACUUGGGUUAAGAGAUUAUGGAUAAUCUCUUAUUGUAAAGGUCUAUUUAAAGGAAAACAUUUGUCCAUGCGGUUCCUAAAAUCGCAACUUUUGUGCAGUAAAAAUAAAACGGACGGCGGAAGCUCUAGAAACCUCGGAUCGGCUUCAUUCAAAAAAGAAAAUCAAGAGGAAAGAUUGAAGUUUAAUUACCUCACUUGCACUUUCAAAAACGACUUCGUGAGGUAGGAGAAAACGACUGAAAACAGCAAGCAACGAACACUGUCCAGAAAAUACAGCUCAGCACGAACAGCUUCUGUUUUGCCACAAUCUAAGAUCCUUAAAGCACCCCAAUUGUGAUGCCUCUAAUUAGUCCACACUUAGAAAUGUUCUAGGAGUUCAGAGCAUUUGGAAUCUCGAAAUUUCGUUUAGAAAUGAGAGAGAUAAUGAAGAAACAUGAAUGCUAGUUCAUGAUGAUUCAUCCCACCAAAUAAAGCUACCAUUAUCUCUAAUAAUGGCACCAAACAUUAUCAUGUGCUAGACCCACCCACUUAGCUAUUAUUUAUUAAAAGUGAUCUUAUCACUUAAAUAAAUUAUUUAAUCAAAUAAAUAAAUAGCUAAAUUAAUUAAUUUCGCAAUUAAUUAAUUAACCCCAUUUUGAUCAAAUCAAAUGGUUAAAUGUGGGCUCAUUUUGUGACAUGUUCUAAUGCUUUCUCUUAAUCCAUAUUAGAUCCAAUAAAAGCCCAAAAUUCUAAACCCAAAAUUGGUCUAGAAGUUCAUAAUCAUAUAUGAACCCGAACAUGUACAAAAUGGUCAUUUUACGUGCUCGAUAUUACAUAAUGUUUAAUGGAGGAUUUACGAAAUUUAUUUUGUUCCUUAAACUAUUUAUGGAACAUCUAAAUUUCUAUCUUAAAUCAUAUUUAAGAUAUAUUUAUAUAUAUAUUCAUUCUCAGUGAAUUAUAAUAUAAAUAUUGAUUUUCCUAAAAUUAGGAAAUUUAACUUCUCAUUUUCUAGUAACUCCUUUUUCAUUUCUAUUUAGUGUGUGACCUUUUAGGUUCUUAGUUAUAAGGUAGUAGAACUAUUUUAAUGAUAACUCUUUAUUCAUUAAAUGAUGCUAAACUCUUUAGUCAUCAAUUAGAACUUUUCUAAUGACCUUAAGAUGCAUUGCUAAUACGCUUUACCAAUAUUGAUCUUAAGGUUUCUACAAGUCAUGAGUGACACCUAGCAGUAUAUCACAACUAUCCAAAUAACAAGAAUUGUUGGAUCUAUAGAACCUAUUCCAUUGUAUCUCUAUGUCUUGGUCUCUUCAUCAUCCAUGUCCAGAGAAAAGCACGGCUUAUGGUUUAUUAUGUUAAGCACUUAUGCUUUAUCUCAAAAUAAAUCUAAAUGAACUUGACAUGAAAAUAUAAUUUGAACUCCUUCAAAUAUAUUUCACCUUGGCCAAGGAUUUCUCAUGCCAAUUCAUAUCAUCUCAUAGGGACAUCCUUUUUGUAUAUUACAAAGUGAUGAAUUCCAUAUUGGCCAUACACUUGUCUUCAUACAUAGCCAACCAUGACAGCUAUUGCUAGAUCUCUUCCGUGAUUAGGAAUCAAUCAUUAUGCUUUCACAUAUCAGAGAUGUCUAUGUAUAAGACAUAUGUUAUGCCUCAGGUCUAAAGACCAUUACUAAACAUAGUGUCUAAUACAAUGUAUAAUAAGCCAUUAACACUCAAAACCAUAUGGCUUACUAUAUUUGGUCAAGUUCAGUAAACUCGUUCUCUCAACAAGUACCUAUGUGUUUGACUUGACAUCUCAUGUCAAUGAUAUGAAACUCACCAUCCAUUUUAGUAUCACAUUCCAUAAGGAGUCAUAACACAUACUAGUGUUUAUAGGAAUUUAUAAUGUCCAAUCAUAAAUCCACCACUAGGAACUAUUUUAGAAGUAUAGUACAAAGGAUGCACGUUUCAUAUUCUCGACGAACUCGAGAAUGUGUUCCUUAACUAUUUUACUUCUUGGACUAUAUUCAUUCAAUUAAUUUAUGAAUAUUGAUAACUAUGCCAUUUUAUAAAUAUCAAAAUGCUAUUCAAAUACAAUAAUUCCCUAAGCAAACAAACACCAUUUGAUUGGCCUUUAAGGCAUAUUACUAACAAUCUCCCACUUGCAAUAAAGCCAAUCGAGUUGUUGAAGCCUUGGAGGCUUACUUAGUAAAAUCUUCAAGCCUGAUAAGCUUGAAGGCGUGGACGUAAGCACGGUUGGCGAAACCACAUAAAAAUCAUGUGUUUGCUCUCUCUUACCCUAUCUCCUUAUUUUUUAUUUCACAUUAAUUUUUUUUAUUUCAAAUUUGAUUGCCUUGUUUAAAUUGCAUUUAGUUUUUUAGUUGCUUAAAUUUUUUAGAAACUCAAUUCACCCUCCCUUUUGGGUUGCCUAAUUAGUAUUUCAUCAUUGAUCGUCGUCUUCGGGACAAUUGCUCCUAUGAUCGUGUGGUCGUACCAUAAUGAUAAGCGAACUUGCUUUGAUACUAAUUAACGAUGCGAAAAUGUUUAAAUUUGCUGGAUAGAAGAAACAAAAGUUUCUAAAUAAUGAAGUUUAUUAAAAUGUCUGAAAUUAAUAAAACUAUAGUUUUGGGCCCCUUUAUAUAAUAAUCAUAAAUAUUUUGAAUUUAACAAAAUAGGUAAAUCUAAAAAAUUAUUUUAUAAUAAAAUUCUCAUAAUUUGAAUUAAAAAAUCUAAAACAAAUGGUGCCCAAAUCUAAGAUCUUAAAAAAAGAUAAAAAUCAUAAUAGGAAUAGAAAAUAUGAGAAAAUAUCUUAAAACAAAAAAAACGACAAGGAAAGAAAUGGAUUUUUACGCUCAAACACUGCCCAAAACUAUGCAACAAUUCUAGUUUUCAUUCGUCUCGUCACAAGCUUCAAAACAGUAUAUAAUAGGCCUAAAAUAGACACACAUAACCUAAGUUAUACCUUUCGAAAAGUAUCUCAUUCGUCCUGCGCAUCCAUCCUACAUCAUAACAGCUUGAAGACUUAGGAGGGCCAGCUUAAUUCAAAGUCAAGACUAGCUUAUUACCUUGCAGGAUUUUUAAUUGUUAGGGAAACAAUUGUUGAAAGAUGCUGGGUAUAAAGUUUAUAAAACUUUAAUUAUUUCAUAAAAUUGUUUUAUUUUUUAUUCAUCAUCACAUUUGGAUUAUCCCCAAUGGCCAAUUUUAUUUUCAUUUUUGUAUAGGUCAAAUAAAUGUUACUAGAAAUUGAUUAUUACCAUUUUUUUCUCAUUUAUUGAGGACUAUGAAGAAUUAGACGAAACUCAUAAAUGACCUAAAAUAUAUAAUGAAUAUUUAGAUAUUUUUUCAUAUCCAUACGAUAUCUUGGAGUACGACAUAGUCUCCAAAAAUAGCCAAACAUUUCACAUCUAUCACAAGUGCUUUCUUGAAUAUUAUGUUGUGGCAGGUGUUUCGUCCUCAUUUUUUUCUUUUGCUAUGGUUCUUAUAACCACCACGAGGUCGACAAUAAUUUUUUUCAGGACCUCAAUCUUAAUAAUAGCCAUGACCACAACCAUGACUACAUCUACAGGCAUGGUUAUACCAAUUUUCAUCAUGAUCACAUAGACAACAUUUGCUCCAAGAACUUGUUUUGUACCAAUAUGAUGGGCUUAAUAAUUCACUAUUCUUUUCUACAAAAAGAAGGCAUGCAAUCAAGUACCGACAGGUAGAGGUGGGCGUUCAGGUCUGGGUGAACCAAACCGAACCAAUUUCGGGUUUUAGUUCAGUUCGGGUCGAACCUAAAACUCGAACAGAUUGAAAGAGUGAAACCGAACGGAUUUGCUAUUUGGUUCGGGUUAGCCCGAACCAAAUAGAAAAAUCGUUUGGUUUCGUAUUAAAAAAAUAAAAAAUAUAUAUAACUAUCCCAUGAAUCUCGAAAUGCCCAAAUCUCCCCCACUGCCCACAAAUCCCUAACCUCUCUUAACACUCACAACUCUCCCCAGUCCUCGCCGAGCCACACCGCGAGACCCUCGCGCACGAGAGGGAAAAAAACAUACAAAAAAGAUAAAUGAAAAAAAAAAUUAAACACUCUGCUUUGCUCGCAGGACCCUGUUCAGCUGCAAUGAAAAUCACACCUCAACGUAUACCCGUAAGUUUCUCCAACAAUUGAUUAUGUGCAUACUUAAUCCCCAAAUAAAGUCUUAUGAUCUUACCAAACUUCACUAGCUAGUUAAUAACGCCACUUACCUGCAUACAUUAAAAAAAAAGAAUCAUUAAAGUUUUUACGCAUUAAAAUGAAAAAUAGAAGUUUACUUCACAAGUUUAUAAUUUGUAUACAAAUUUCUAUCUGUAAAAUGAAAACCAAUGUCAAAAUAAUAACAUACAGUAUCAAUUGGAAUAGAACAUGCCAUUCCACAAAAUGCGCCACUUCUAGAGAUAAUAGAUGUAUUGACUCUAGUAAAACUUCAUGAACAAUCAAAAUCAUACUUGCAGGGUGGCUGAUUACAUGGGCUUCCUCACAUAAUUAUUGGUCUUAUUCGUGUUUUGGUGCAUUAAUAUGCUAGUAGUGCUACACAUUCUAAAUUUUUUAUCUCAUAAAACUACUUCAAAUGAUACAUUCAUCAGUUUGUUGGUGAGACAAAAUAGUCAAUUCACUUAAAUCUUAUAAAAAAUUAUCAAUCAUUCAAUAAACGACAGAUUAUUUUACGAUGAAAUUUGAGAUAAAAAAUUAGAGAUAUCUAUCAUUAGCCUUAAUAUGCAACAUUGCCAAAGUCUUUGUCUUGGUCAUAACUAACAAGUUAAUUUUGCAUAUAAAGUUGAUUGGUUAAAAUAGUGACUCUAUAAAAAUAAUUUGUUGUUUGAAGUAUUUUGUAGAAUAAAUAACCCCAUUAAAAAUAGAAUACAAAUUUAUGGUUUAUUACAAGUUUACAACCACAAGUUCACUUUUGGUGCUCAAGUCUAAUUACAACCAGAUGUCCACUAUAGAUAAACUAUUGAAAGAUAAAAAGAAACUUUUUAUUUAAAAUACAAUGGAAUUAUACAUAAUUAAAAUUCAUAUCAAAAUGAUUACAAUAAUCAUAUCAAUAUCAAACUUCAAUGUAUGAUCACAAUUUUAAUUAAUUAUUUUCACAGUGAAUGAUAAUGUUAGGAAAAAAAGUGCAAUACAAUAUUAUUUUUAUUAUGUUUCAGUUCAAUCAUCCUAAUUUAUAAAUAAAAUUUAUUUCUAAAGGAUACUGCAUUACUAUUACAUGUAUAAAACAUUUCUUUGACUCUGUCUCAUCAGGUUCGACUUCAAGAAUAAUGAAAAUUUCUUCCAAUUGAGUACCGCGCAAGAUCUUCACAAUCACCUGAUAUCAAAAUAAUUCAAAGAAUUUUGCAAAGACAACUAGGACAAAAUAAUUGGAAAAGAGAGUAAUGCAUCAUCGUGAGAUACCUCAUCUCCAACUUUACAUUGAUCAAGAAUUUUGUGCAAAGCGGUAGCAUUGGAGACAUCUUAUCCAUUCAUAGCCUUUAUGAUGUCGCCCAAAAUGAGUUUGCCAUCAGCUCUAAGUUUGGUUGAUCUCAAACCCUACAGAUAAAGACCAAUCAACUUUAUUGAGUGAAAGCACGAGAGGGGAAAAAACAUACAAAAAGAUAAAGGAAAAAAAUGAAACACACUGCUUUGCUCAUAGGACCCUGUUCAGCUGCAAUGAAGAUCACGCCUCUACUUAUACCCGUAAGUUUCUCCAACAAUUUAUUUUGUGCAUACUUAAUCCCCAAAUAAAGUCUUAUGAUCUUACCAAACUUCACUAGCUAGUUAAUAACGCCACUUACCUGCAUACAUUAAAAAAAAAAGAAUCAUUAAAGUUUUUACGCAUUAAAAUGAAAAAUAGAAGUUUACUUCACAAGUUUAUAAUUUGUAUACAAAUUUUUAUCUGUAAAAUGAAAACCAAUGUCAAAAUAAUAACAUACAGUAUCAAUUGGAAUAGAACAUGCCAUUCCACAUAAUGCACCACUUUUAGAGAUAAUAAAGGUAUUUACCCCAGUCAAACUUCAUGAACAAUCAAAAUCAUACUUGCAGGGUGGCUAAUUACAUGGACUUUCUCACAUAAUUAUUGGUCUUAUUCGUGUUUUGGUGCAUUAAUAUGCUAGUAGUGCUACACAUUCUAAAUUUUUUAUCUCAAAAAAUUACUUUAAAUGAUAUAACAUUCAUUAGUUUGUUGGUGAGACAAAAUAGUCAAUUCACUUAAAUCUUAUAAAAAAUUAUCAAUCAUUCAAUAAACGACAAAUUAUUUUACGAUGAAAUUUGAGAUAAAAAAUUAGAGAUAUCUAUCAUUAGCCUUAAUAUGCAACAUUGCCAAAGUCUUUGUCUUGGUCAUAACUAAUAAGUUAAUUUUGCAUAUAAAGUUGAUUGGUCAAAAUAGUGACUCUAUAAAAAUAAUUUGUUGUUUGAAGUAUUUUGUAGAAUAAAUAAAAAAAUUUAUUGUUUGAAGUAUUUUGUAGAAUAAAUAGCCCCAUUAAAAAAAGAAUACAAAUUUGUGGUUUAUUACAAGUUUACAACCACAAGUUCACUUUUGGUGCUCAAGUCUAAUUACAACCAGAUGUCCACUAUAGAUAAACUAUUGAAAAAUGAAAAGAAACUUUUUAUUUAAAAUACAAUGGAACUAUACAUAAUUAAAAUUCAUAUCAAAAUUAUUACAAUAAUCAUAUCAAUACCAAACUUCAAUAUAUGAUCACAAUUUUGAUUAAUUAUUUUCACAGUGAAUGACAAUGUUAUGAAAAAAAGUGCAAUACAAUAUUAUUUUUAUUAUGUUUCAAUUCAACCAUCCUAAUUUAUAAGUGAAAUUUAUUUCUAAAGGAUAUUGCAGUACUAUUACUUGUAUAAAACAUUUCUUUGACUCUGCCUUAUCAGGUUUGACUUCAAGAAUAAUGGGAAUUUCUUCCAAUUGAGUAGCACGCAAUAUCUUUACAAUCACCUGAUAUCAAAACAAUUAAAAGAAUUUUGCAAAGACAACUAGGGCAAAAUAAUUGGAGAAAGAUAGUAAUGCAUUAUCGCGAGAUACCUCAUCUCCAACUUUACAUUGACCAAGAAUUUUGGGCAAACCGUUGGCAUUGGAGACAUCUUAUCUAUUCAUAGCCUUUAUGAUGUCGCUCAAAAUGAAAAUGAGUUUGUCAUCAGCUCCAAGUUUGGUUGAUCUCAGACCCUACAGAUAAAAAUCGAUCAACUUUACUGAGUGAAAGCACGAGAGGGAAAAAAACAUACAAAAAGAUAAAGGAAAAAAAAAAUAAACACACUGCUUUGCACGCAAGACCCUGUGUCAACUGCAAUGAAGAUCAGGCCUCUAUUUGUACCCGUAAGUUUCUCCAACAAUUGAUUAUGUCCAUACUUAAUCCCCAAAUAAAGUCUUAUGAUCUUACCAAACUUCACUAGUUGGUUAAUAACGCCACUUACCUGCAUACAUUAAAAAAAAAGAAUCAUUAAAGUUUUUACGCAUUAAAAUGAAAAAUAGAAGUUUACUUCACAAGUUUAUAAUUUGUAUACAAAUUUCUAUGUGUAAAAUGAAAACCUCUAUGUGUGUUCAGACGAGCCCCAAAGGCCUCUCAUCUCAUAUCAUCUGUAUCACUGUAUCUGGAGGGGAAGGGUAUUGUCCAAUGAUUUUGCAAAUAACCUUUUAUACACAUGUACAUAAACAUAUAAUCACAUAUGAAAUUUCAUUUCCUUUUUAUUUAACAUAUCUCAAUUCCACUCAAUUUUAUUAUCAUGCAUUUACUCAAAAAUGCUAAUAAAAUCAUUAAUCAAACUCAUUUUUAAUAAUAAUAAAUAUCAGCACGUAGAUAAAAAUCUAUUUUCUAGGAAAUUAUCAAAUUGAAGCAUCAAAUACUUAUUAUCAAAACAUGUUGUAUUGCAUCGUAAAAUCAAAAUAUACUAUGAAAAUAGGUUUUGGAUAUUCCACUCACAGUGGCNNNNNNNNNNNNNNNNNNNNNNNNNNNNNNNNNNNNNNNNNNNNNNNNNNNNNNNNNNNNNNNNNNNNNNNNNNNNNNNNNNNNNNNNNNNNNNNNNNNNNNNNNNNNNNNNNNNNNNNNNNNNNNNNNNNNNNNNNNNNNNNNNNNNNNNNNCAAAAAAUUACCAAAAUGCCCUUAACAUCGAAAUUUACCGAAUUUCUGUCGGAACCAUAAUUUAUCGAAUUAUCCUCAAAAUCCUAAAUUACCUAAUUGCUCUUAAUUCAAAUCACAAAAUUAACCACAAGUUUUGCAUACACGGAAUUACCCUUAGAAUGCGAAACUACUAAAAUGCCCUCAACAACAUAAAUUAGGGAAUUACGCCUGAAAUCUUAAAUUACCUCACUGUCCUAGUCUGGAAUUACCAAAUCAUCCACUAAUUUCAGAAAUUACGAAUUAAUUCCCAGAGUUUGCAAAAUUAUCGAAUUGCCCAUGCCGGUCAACGGUGACCGGAGUUUAGUCAACGGUGACGGGAAGUUUACUACCAAUUAAGCUAAUGCGGGAUCCGUGUUGAAAUAAAAAUCCGACUACAUAGCCAUUGAAUCGUGUUCGAAUUGUCUCAAUUUUAUGUCGUGACAAAUUUAAAAUAAUCCAAACACGAUUUAUUUAAUAAACGUAUAACAUUUAACAGUCACCACUCAUAAUGUCGGAUAAUCGUGUUGUAUCAACUUCACCGUAAUAAUUCAGAACAAGUCCAACAAAUUUAAAAUUAAUGUCGAAGGGAAAAAAUUAAAUAAUACACUUAAUUAGGAAAAUUAAAGUGCAUAUUUUAAAAUCCUCCCCACUUAUUAAAAUUUUGUCCCUCGAAAUUUACACAUGAUGAGAACAGAUGAGGGUGUUGGGCUUGCAUUAAGUCUUCACGUUCCCAAGUAUCCUCUUCCCUUGUGUGAUUCCUCCACAACACUUUUACUAAAGGAAUGGCUUUAGAUCGCAACACUUAGUGUUUUCUGUUCAAGUAUGUCCACAGGCUCCUUUUAGUACGUCAAGUCUUCCUUCAAUUUAAUUAGUUGUCUCGAUAACACAUGACUGGGAUCAUCUAUGUACUUUCGAAGCAUCGAGACAUGAAACACAUUGUGGAUUCUGGAUAACUCAGUUGGUAGAGCUAAUCGGUACGCCAACGGACCAAUACACUCCACAAUCUCAUAUGGUCCAAUGUAACGUGGGCUUAGCUUUCCGCACUUCCUAAAUCGAAGUACCCAUUUCCAAGGAGGUAUCCGUAUGAAAACCUUAUCACCCACUUCGAAUUCAAGUUCCCUCCUACGCUUAUCUGUAUAGCUCUUUUGUCUGUUUUGGGCUACCUUUAAUCUAUCCCAAAUAAGUUGUAUAUUCUCAUUAGUAUUCUAAACCUAUUCGGGACCAAAAAGCUUCCGCUCGCCAACCUCAUCCCAACAUACCGAAGUUCUACAUUUCCUGCUAUACAAAGCCUCAUAAGGUGCCAUCUCGAUGCUAGCUUGAUAAUUGUUAUUAUAAGAAAACUCUAUCAAAGGUAAAUAAAUGUUCUAACUACCCUAAAACUCCAAAACACAAGUUCACAACAUACCUUCCUAUGUCUGAAUAGUACGCUCUAAUUGUCCAUCAGUCUAAGGAUGAAAACCUAUACUAAAAUUCAACUUUGUGCUUAAAGCCUUCUGCAACCUAGUCCAAAACUUAAAAGUGAACUGGGAAUCUCUAUCUGAAACAAUAUACACAGGUGCUCCGUGAAGUCGAACAAUCUCAGCCGCAUAAAUACUCUCCAACUUAUCCAUCGAAUAAGUGGUCUUGAAAGGUAAAAAGUGAGCAGAUUUCGUGAGCCGGUCAACAACCACCCAAACAUUAUCAUGUCCACUAUGGGUAUAUGGAAGUCCCGCCAUAAAAUCUAUGGUGAUAUGCUCCCACUUCCACUCAAAAAUAGGAAGCGGCUGAGAACAUCCUGCAGGCCUUUGAUGUUCAGUCUUAAUUUGUUGACAACUAAACAUCUAGAUACAAAUUCUGCUAUAUCUCUCUUCAUACCUUACCACCAAUAAUGAUCCUUUAAGGUACAAUAUAUCUUCGUACUACCAGGAUGCAUUGCAUAAGCUGAACAAGGAUCCUCUUCCAUGAUCUCCUUUUUUCAACUCCUUAAUAUCGGGUACACAAAGUCGAUUACCCAUCACUAAAACUCCAUCAUCUCUCACCGCAAAAUCGGUUCGCAGGCCUUUUUGCACAUCCUCUCUCAACUUCAUUAGCUGUGGAUCCUGAUCUUGUAUCUGAUGGACUUUGUCAAUCAAAGUCGGCCUAACUAAAAAAUUAGCUAUUAGAGCUCUGCAAUUAUUAGCUUUUGAUGUGCUAAUAAUUUUCAUAUUAUUUUAAUUCUUCCAUAACUUAAUUUUAUGUUAAAUUAUAUUUUAUUACAUUAAUUUUAUCUUAAUUUUUAUAUUUUGUCAUUGUAGGAAUAUUGGGAAUAUUCAUGAGAACGGAAGCUUAAAUAGGAAACAAAUUGGAGCUUAAUGGAAAUAAUUACAGAUUGUGAGUGAAAAGAGGAAAGAAUAAUGCUUAAAAAAUAAUUAUUAGAUUUAUUACCAAAUAACUUUAGAAAUUUAUUGGCUAUUUGUACAAGUCACGUGGAUGAUUACAUAAAGCAUUGGCAUUUGUCAAGUGGGCUCACGUGCAUGGGCUUAAAAGGUUGGCUAGGUUUGUUUUGUUUUAAAAUCCUUUUGAUUUAAGGAUUUGUGGGUUGAGCAAUAAUAUAAAAAGGAGGAGAAACAAAAGCAAAAGGGUAGUCGCACAAAUUGAGAAGACAAAAAGAGAGCAGCCGUGAAAAUUGGAGAGAAAAACCGGGAGAGAAGGAAGAAAAAGAACGAAGCAGCCAUAAGACAUUUAGAGGGAGGAGGGAAUUAAUUCUUGAGUUUUUCUUUUCCUCUUCCCAAUUGUCCUACUUGAAUGUUUCCAAUUAAAUUCAUGGAUUCUUUUUAUAUUCCCAUGAACUAAUUUAUUUUGCUAGGGCUACGACAUAACCUAACUAUGAAGAUUUAAUUCCAUAAAUCUAUGUUAUUUUCAGUUUAUUAUUUCAUGGGUGAUUGUUCAUUAUUGUGUUUAAUACUUUUAAAUAUCUGGCUAAUAUUUAAAUGAUUUGAGGAUACAUAAUAAGACCUAGAGGAGAUUUAUGUAUUUUUGCUCUGUGUAAUGUAUGCCAUGAAUUGAACGAAAGACAGAGAUGUGCCAACGUGAUUCAUGCAGUUUUUCUAAGAGUUUCCAUGGAGCUUAAUGAAUCUUUGCAUAUUUAAAUUCACAUAGAGAUAUAGUGGGUUAAUAUGUGAAGGUAUUUUUGAUAUUACUCGAGAGAGGAUAUUGAAUAGACUAGGGAAAUUCAUUGUAACCAUGGAUAAUAAAUUUUAAUAGCAUAGAUGGAGGAUUAAAUUGGAUUAGUUAUGGUGAAAUCGGAUGUCCUAACGUCUUAAUCUCUUGGUGAUUUCUAUUACUACCUGCAUCUUUUUUCAAUUUUUAGUUAUUUUCUUUUAUUUUAAUUUUUAAUCUAAAUUCGCUUAUUCGAUUGUUCAAAUAAUUUAGGGUUAAAAUAAAUUUGGUAGCUAAUAGGAUAUACGAUCUCUGUGGGACGAUACUAUACUCUUCAUUAUAUUAUUUGUGCCGACUAGUGCACUUGCUAAUUUACGCAUCAAGUUUUUAGCACCGUUGCCGGGGAUUGUUUGGAUUAGUAUCGAUACCAACUAACCUUAGUUUAAUUUGAAUUUGAAUUUUAUUAUUUUUUAAUUUAAUUUAAUUUUUUUAUUUAAUUUUAUGAGACGUUUAAAAAGCUUUGAUUUACUGCCUUUUGAUCCAGAGAUUGAACGUACGUGUAGAAGGCUUAAUAGAGAAAGGAGAGAAGAUUUACAGGAGCUACAACUAAUCAUGACUGAGAAGCAUAAUUAAUGGUGCUCGUUCAGGCCAAUAAUUUUGAAAUUAAGCUAGCUAUAAUCUAGAUGAUUCAGACGUCAGUACAAUUUGCUGGGAUGCGGAAUGAUGAUCCAAAUGUUCAUAUUGCAAAUUUCUUGGAAAUUUGUGACACAUUUAAGCAAAAUGGUGUUUUAGAUAAUGCUAUCAGGCUAAGGCUUUUCCCGUUCUCACUAAGGGAUAAAGCAAAAGAGUGGUUAAACUCACUCCUUGCUGGAACAAUCACUGCAUGGGAUGGUUUAGCGCAGAAGUUUUUAGCAAAGUACUUUCCUCCAGCAAAAACAGCCAAGUUGAGAAAUGACAUCACAACCUUUGAUCAAUUCGAGAUGGAAUCAUUAUAUGAAGCGUGGGAGAGAUACAAAGACCUACUAAGAAAAUGCCCACAUCAUGGUCUACUAGUUUGUCGUCAGGUACAGACAUUUUACAAUGGUUUGGGAUCCAAUACCAGAACAAUGAUUGAUGCUGCAGCAGGAGCAACGUUAAUCGGAAAAACACUAGAAGCAACUUAUGAAUUAUUGGAGGAGAUGGCCUCUAAUAAUUACCAGUGGUCUUUAGAGCGACCAAUAUCAAGGAGAGCUACAGGAGUCCAUAAUGUUGAUGUGGUCACCGCUUUAUACGCACAGAUAAUUGCAAUUUGUAACAAGUUGGACAAUCUGAAUAUUCAAACUCAACCGCAAGUGUGUGAAUUAUGUGGAGGGAAUCAUACAAGCGUUAAUUGCCAAGUUAGAAGUCCUUUUGCACCAUCAUCUACUAAACAAGCUCAUUAUGUGUGAAACUUUCAGAGGCAACAAAAUAACCCAUAUUCUAAUACCUACAAUCCAAGCUGGAGAAACCAUCCAAAUCUAUCAUGGAACAACACCCAAAAUGCAUUGGCACCACCUCCAGGGUUCCAACAACAAGAAAAAAAGUCAAACUUAGAAGAUGCUCUUACCCAGCUUACAACAAAUAUGUCUCAAUUCAUGACCAAAACAGAGACAACUUUUCAUAAUCAAGCUGCAUCAAUUCGGAACCUCGAGGUACAAGUGGGUCAGAUUGCAAACUUGCUAUCCAGUAGACAACAAAGCUCUCUGCCAUGCAACACCGAGACAAAUCCAAGGGAGCAAGUUAAUGCAAUUGUACUUUGGAGUGGUAAACAACUUGAUGAGCCGCAAAAAGAAGCAAAGAAAGUUGAUAAAGGACAAGCUAAAGACACCACCAAGGUUUCAAAUGCAAUAAAUUUAGAAAUACCACAACCUAAACCAACAGCACAAGUCAAGGCCUAUGUUCCUCUAAUCUUUUUUCCUCAACGUCUCAGGAAAAAUAACAUAGAUAAGUGAUUUUUAAAAUUUCUUGAUGUGUUUAAGAAAUUGCAUAUUAACAUUCCUUUUGCAGAUGCUUUGGAACAAAUGCUGCUUUAUGCCAAAUUUAUGAAGGAAAUUUGAGGAACAUGAAAUUGUAAUGUUGACUGGGGAUUGCACUGCCAUCUUGCAAAAUAAAUUGCCACCAAAGCUGAAAGAUCCAAGGAGUUUUAAUAUUCCAUGCACUAUUGGAAAUACUUAUUUUGAAAAAGCUUUGUGUGAUUUAGGUGCAAGCAUUAAUUUGAUGCCUUUUUCUGUUUUCAAGAAAUUAGGUUUGGGUGAACUUAAGGCAACAACUGUUACCUUCCAAUUGGCAGAUAGAUCUAUAAAGUACCCAAGAGACAUAGUUGAGGACGUGCUUGUGAAAGUUGAUAAGUUUAUAUUCCCUGCAGAUUUUAUUGUCUUGGAUAUGGCUGAAGAUAUAGAGUUGCCUCUUAUUCUAGGCCGACCAUUCUUAGCUACAAGAAGAGCUUUGAUUGAUGUUCAGGAAGGGAAAUUGAUUUUAAGAGUUCAAAAUGAGCAAUCCAUUUUUAAUGUGUACGCACCUAUCAAGUAUCCAACUGAACUCAAAGAAUGUUUCCAAGAAGACACCAUGGAUAGAAAAAUGGCCAAACCUUUAAAGGAUAAGCAUCUAUUUGACCCUCCUGACAUUUAUACAAUACGUAAGCAAUCUAUUAAUGAAGAUCCAUCUCCUCAUUUUCAUGGGAAGAGAUCUAAUUGCAAGCAACUUGGGCAAGAUCCAUCCAGAUCAUCUCCUUCCAUCCACGAGCCUCCUUGAACGAUCUCUCCAAAGAUAGUCAAGCUAAUGACUAUAAAUUAAGCGCUUCUUGGGAGGCAACCCAAGCUUUCUAAACUUUAUUAUUGUCAUUUUUGUCUUUUCUUAUUUCUUCUGUCUUUUCUUUUACUUAUUUUAUUUUGUUUUGUUCUAGGUUUUUGCAUAAGUUUGGGGGUAGGAAUAUUUGCUGUCAAUUUUUUCUUUAAAAAAAGAAAACAAAUCUAAAAAAAUAAAAAAAAAAUUUUAUGCCUUUGAUGAGUAUAUUGUUGAAAAUGAAUAUGGUUCUUAGAAAUGGAUGAAUAUUUUCUUAAUUUAUACUUGAUUCUUGUGUUAGUUUCGUCUUGAUUAUGAUUCUUUAAAUAUUUUGCACACUUAUAUCGAUUUUUUCAUAAUUUUGACUUGAGAUUUGAGAUUGAUACAGCCUGAGUUGAGAAUUUUAGAUUGAGUAAAUGAUUGUUUGCCUCGAUUCUACAUUACUUAAGUACCCAGGCAUCAUAGUCAGAAAUAGCUGCCUAUAACCCUUAAGAGUGAAGCUAUUAUUGAGUAAUUUGGGCCUAUGUACCACCGGUAUGUAGAGGAUAAUCUACCAUAAGAAGAAUGUUACCUUAAGGGGUAGAGUGAAAGCUCCUGACUAUGAAAAAAAAAGCAUGUGCUUCAAGAAAAAUCAAAAGAAAAUGCAAAUUAUGCUUGUGAAAAAGAGAGAGAGAGAGAGAUCAAGAUGAUGAGGUUAGUUUGACCUACUCUGUUUACUAUUCAAUACAAGGGCUGUUGAUAUUGAAGAUUUUCAUAAUGAGUUUUGAUUGAAUUGAUUCACACACAACAUGGGAAUCCAAUAUGAGAUGAGGCUAACCAUUGAAUUAAAGUUAGAACUUUGCCAAUACUUUUAAUUUUCUUUGAGCUGUAUACUUUAUGCAAUCUUUGAGGCAUUUUUAAUGAUGUUUGUGGGUAUCAUCGCUAGAAACCCUCAUGAGACUAUAACUUGUCUACUAGGGCCACCUAGGAGUUUACAGGCUUGUUGUGUAUGCUAAAUGCAAUCGCGAUCACCUAGGAAAGUGGUUUAGUUAGGAUUUUCUUUUCAUAGUUUUUAUUUUAAUUUUUGCUCGAGGACUAGCAAAAUGUUAAGUUUGGGGGUAUUUGAUGUGUCAAUCAUUUUCAUAUUAUUUUAAUGCUUCCAUAACUUAAUUUUAUGUUAAAUUAUAUUUUAUUACAUUAAUUUUUAUCUUAAUUUUUAUAUUUUGUCAUUGUAGGAAUAUUGGGAAUAUUCAUGGAAAGGAAGCUUAAAGAGGAAACAAAUUGGAGCUUAAUGGAAAUAAUUGCAGAUUGUGAGAGAAAAGAGGAAAGAAUAAUGCUUAAAGAAUAACUAUUAGAUUUAUUACCAAAUAAUUUUAGAAAUUUAUUGGCUAUUUGUACAAGUCACGUGGAUGAUUACAUAAAGCAUUGGCAUUUGUCAAGUGGGCUCACAUCCAUGGGCUUAAAAGGUUGGCUAGGUUUGUUUUGUUUUAAAAUCCUUUUUAUUUAAGGAUUUGGGGGCUGAGCAAUAAUAUAAAAAGGAGGAGAAACAAAAGCAAGAGGGUAGCCGAACAAAUUGAGAAGACAAAAGGGGAGUAGCCACGAAAAUUGGAGAGAAAAAUCGGGAGAGAAGGAAGAAAAAGAACGAAGCAACCAUAAGAGAUUCAGGGGGAGGCGGGAAUUAAUUCUUGAGUUUUUCUUUUCCUCUUCUCAAUUGUCUUGCUUGAAUGUUCCCAAUUAAAUUAAUGGAUUCUCUUUAUACUCCCAUGAACUAAUUUAUUUUCCUAGGGCUACGACGUAGCCUAACUCUGAAGAUUUAAUUCCAUAAAUCUAUGUUAUUUUUAGCUUAUUAUUCCAUAGGUGAGUGUUCAUUAUUGUGUUUAAUGCUUUUAAAUAUCUGGCUAAUAUUUAAAUGAUUUGAGGAUACAUAAUGAGACCGAGAGGAGAUUUAUGUAUUUUUGCUCUAUGUAAUGUAUGCCAUGAAUUGAACGAAAGACAGAGAUGUGCCAACGUGAUUCAUGAAGUUUUUAUAAGAGUUUUCAUAGAGCUUAAUGAAUCUUUGCAUAUUUAAAUUCACAUAGAGAUAUAGUGGGUUAAUAUGUGAAGGUAUUUUUGAUAUUACUCGAGAAAGGAUAUUGAAUAGACUAGGGAAAUUCACUGUCAACAUGGAUAAUAAAUUUUAAUAGCAUAGAUGGAGGAUUAAAUUGGAUUAGUUAUUGUGAAAUCGGAUGUCCUAGUGUUUUAAUCUCUUGGUGAUUUCUAUUACUUUCGCAUCUUUAUUUAAUUUUUAGUUAUUUUAUUUUAUUUUAAUUUUUAGUCUAAAUUUACUUAUUCGAUUGUUCAAAUAAAUUAGGGUUAGAAUAAUUUCAGUAGCUAAUAGGAUAUACAAUCUCUGCAGGACGAUACUCUACUCUUCAUUAUAUUACUUGUGCCGACUGGUAGACUUGAUAAUUUACGCAUCAAGUUUUUGGUUAUUAGCUUUCAACUCAACUCCCAAAGAUCUCAGCUCGAUCAACAAAGGCAUAUAUGUCACUCAUAAAUGAGCUACAGAGCUGGAGGACUUCCUACUUAACGCAUCAGCUACCACAUUUGCUUUGCCCGGAUGAUAAUCAAUAGUACAAUCGUAGUCCUUAAUCAGCUCGAUCAAUCUCCUCUGUCUCAAAUUUAACUCUUUCUAAGUAAAUAAAUACUUCAAGUUCUUAUGAUCGGUGACAAUCUGACACGUUGCCCCGUAUAAAUAAUACCUUCAUGUCUUCAGUGUAAACACCACUGCUACUAGCUCUAAAUCAUGAGUUGGGUAGUUUUGCUUAUGCUUCUUAAGUUAUCUAGAAGCAUAGGCCACUACUUUCCCAUGUUGCAUUAGCACACAUCCCAAUCCUUGUCUAGAGGCAUCACUGUAUACCACAAACCCUUCAUUACUCGAUGGAAGUGUAAGAACUGGGGCUGAAGUAAGACAUGUCUUAAGUUCUUGAAACUCUUUUCACAGUCAUCAUCCCAUUGGAACUUAACAUUAUUUUUGGUUAAUCAUGUCAAAGGAAUAACAAUCUUGGAAAAUCCCUCCACAAAUCUACGAUAGUAGUCAACUACUUCAAGGAAACUUUGAAUCUCUGUGACAUUUGUAGGUCGUUCCCAAUUUACAACUGCUUCGAUCUUUUGAGGAUCGACAUAAAUCCGUUCAGCUGAUAUCAUAUGGCCCAGAAAUACUAGUUUAUCCAACCAGAACUCACACUUGUUGAACUUGGCAUAUAAUUGCUUUUGCCUUAAAGUCUGCAAAACAGUUCGCAAAUAUUCUGCAUGUUCCUCCUAGUUCCGAGAAUACACCAAAAUAUCAUUAAUGAACACAAUCAUAAACGGAUAUAGAUAAGGGUGAAAUACUCUAUUCAUAAGAUCAAUAAAAGCUGCUGGAGCAUUAGUCAAUGCAAAUGGCAUCACCAAGAACUCAUAGUGUCCAUAACAGGUUCUGAAUGUCGUUUUAAGAACAUCGACCUCUUUAAUUCUAAGCUAAUGAUAUCCCGAGCAUAAAUCAAGCUUAGAAAAUACUUUCGCUCUCUGAAGUUGAUCAAACAAGUCAUCAAUUUACGGAAGUGGAUACUUAUUGCGUAUUGUAACUUUGUUUAAUUAUCUGUAGUCAAUGCAGAGUCUAAGAGUACCAUCUUUUUUCUUAACAAACAAAACCGGAGCACCCACGGAGACACAUUAGGUCUCAUAAAUCACUUAUCCACCAAUUCUUGCAGUUGAAAUUUAAGUUCCUUUAGUUCAACUGGAGCCAUCCUGUACAGUGCUACAGAUAUAGGAACUGUUCCAGGGACUAAAUCAAUAGAAAACUCAACCUCCCUAUUAGGUGGCAUCCUUGGAAGUUCAUCUGGAAACUCUUGGACUACUGGAACAUCCUCCAAUCUCAACUCCCGAACUUCAGUGUCUAUCACAUGCGAUAUAAGCUGAGCAACCUUUCUUAGUAACCGUCUAGCACCAAUGGCUGAUACGACACAUGAGGGUAAAACUCUACACUCACCACAAAACUUCACCUCAGUUUUCCCUGGCUUUUCUAAACAUAACUUCCUUUUUGAAACAAUCCUUAGUAUCAUAAUGAGAUGCAAGUCAGUCCAUGCCCAAAAUGUUAUUGAAAUCUCGAAUGUCUAAAAUAAUCAAAUUCGCCUUAAAUUCUUGCUCACCAAAUUUAAUCAUACAAUCUUAAUACACACUCUCUGCAAGCAGUGACCCCCUGCAGGUGUAUUAACAACUAAACCAUAAUCUAGUGGUUCAUACUCUCUCUCUCAAAUGCAUGGCAAAAACAUGAGAAACAAAAGAAUGCGUGGAUCCAGGAUAAAAAAGAAUAUAAGCCUAAGUAAUUGCAACAUGUCAUUGAUAUUGAUGUUCUACUAUUUGCCACCAAUGAUAAGCUUUAUCCUUGAGUAGAAAAGUGGCAAAGGAAAGUCCAUCCUCCUUUGAGCAUCUCAUCACAUUAAAAAUACGUUCUAACUUGACAAACCACGACUCUGCCUCAGGUGCAUCUCCAGAACCAUUAAAACUCUUUGCCCCUAAAUUUUGUACACGCUCGAUAGUGUUUACAUGACCGGCAUACAGAUGAGUCUGAUUAUGUACCAUUGUAGUCACAAUCUCAGCUAGUUUAUCAAUUGACUGCUCAAGGUUGGAUACAUUUCUUGGUGUCUGUUGUGCAACCUCGUGCGUUGAAGACUCAACUACUCUCUCGUUUACAGGAUUAUUUUCCGCCGCAGGUACAUCUCCUGGAGUCAACCCAGCUACUGAUUUAGUACGGCUACGACCACCCCUAUUGCUACAACGAAUCAUGAUGGUGCUCACAAAAUAUCAAUUACGACUUUAACAACAGCAAAACUUAUUCUAAUCACAACAACAAAGUCUACAUAAUCUAAAACCGUGCUCUGAUACCAACUAAAACGACCCGCCCCGACUCCCCAGGAUGAGUCUAUCUAACUCGCCUAACCAAAUUAAUAAUAAUUCUAAUGUCUAAGAAUUCUACCAAAAUUUUGGCAGAGUCUCCUAUAUAAUUAUGACAUCCCCAAACUGCAAUUUAUAAAAUUAACACCCAAAAAUGAUACAAUAUUCAAUCAACCUCCACAACUAACUUCAUCAAUCAAAUACCAGUAUCCUUCAAACAUAUAAUGUCAAGAAUAUAAUAAUUUAUCCUUAAUCACAAAUAAGUAAUAAAUUAUAUAAUUCAAAAUAUCCCAACAAAACAUCUAGGUUUAACACCGUCACGUGGCCAUAGUUUCAAAUCUAACUAUCGUUGCUGGGUCGACUGAUGCAUCUGCAAAUCUCCUGUAGCGGGAAAAAUAUAAUAAAAACAGGGUGAGUAUAAAACUCAGUGAGCUCAGUGAGUGGAUAGUAGUUUUUGAAAAAUAAAUUUAUUUAAAAUGAUUUAAUCUUUCCCAAAUAAAUUUCAUCAAAAUAUCAUAAGAACUUAAAUAAACAUAUUUAAUUAAAAUCAUGCACUAAAAUAACAAUAUUACAUAAAUCUGCAUAAAAUCAAUGAAAUCAUAACAUUCAUAAUAUCAAAUACUGAAUACCAAAAAAUAUCACCAAACAAGAACCCAGGGGAAUAAACUCAUCAUAUCCGGACCUCGACGGACGGACAAUCAAGGAACCGUCAUGCCCUGGAGCUAUAAGGGAUAGACGUGGAAAUGCCAUUUCAUAUCUCAUAUAUCUCAUCAUAUCUGUGCAUGUAUAAUCUGGUCCCCAAAGGAUAAGGUGCCCAAGUAUACAGCCCAAAACCUCUAUGUGUACUCAGAUAGGCCUCAAAUGCCUCUCAUCUCAUAUGUAUCUCAAUAUCUGUGUCUCUGUAAUUAUCAUACUAGAUGCAUAUGCCCCCAAAAGGCAAAAGCGCCCAAACACACGGCCCAAAGCCUCUAUGUAUAUUCAGACGGGCCCCAAAGACCCAUCAUCUCAUAUCAUUUGUAUCAUUGUAUCUAGAGGGGAAGGGUAUUGUCCAAUAAUUUUGCAAACAACCUUUUAUACACAUGUACAUAAACAUAUAAUCACAUCUGAAAUCUCAUUUCCUUUUUAUUUAACAUAUCUCAAAUCCACUCAAUUCUAUUAUCAUGCAUUUACUCAAAAUUGAUAAUAAAAUCAUUAAUCAAACUCAUUUUUAAUAAUAAUAAAUAUCAUCACGUAGAUAAAAAUUCAUUUUCUAGGAAAUCAUCAAAUUGAAGCAUCAAAUACUUAUUAUCAAAACAUGUUGUACUGUAUCGUAAGAUUAGAAUAUACUAUGAAAAUAGGUUUUGUAUAUUCCACUCACAAUGACGAUGUUCAGACUCGGUAUCAACAACGUCCGCGGGUUGAUUCUCAUUCGCGGGUUGUUGGUGAAUUUUUACUCAAUUGCUGUUGAUGCCAAUGUGCAAGUGUACACAACAAGUAAUAAAGUGAUGAAUAUUCUAGAUCGUCUCUACAGAGACUGAUGUUACUAGAAAUGCUACAGUAAUCACAAUAGUGCAAUCUACCUUUAUUUCAUGAUGAACCUAGUUAAAAUUGAUUACUACCGAAAUUAAAAAUUGUAAAGAAAUAAAACAAAUAAUUGCAGUAAUGAAAUAAAUUAGAUAAAUUGCGUAAAAGAAUCAAAUGAGAAUGAGGUAGUUGAAUGAUCAAACUCUCUUCAUGGGUUGACUGCUUUUCAUCAAAUUAGCACCAGUUGCUACAACAAUUCCUACAGCACUAGGCAGAAUUAUUUUGCAUCCUCAGCUGUCGCGUGUUGGGCUUCUCAUACCCUUAAGUAUCUUGACAAUGACCAGUUGCUAUUCUACCUACGACAUGGCAUUAUGAACAUCUAUUCUCUCCACCCUCCAAGGUGAGUGCCUAUAUCUAAUUCUUCACAAAUUUUAACUUCAAGCAUAGCCCUUAUGGGAUUCAAGAUAAACUUAAUCCAGGAAACUCAAAUUAAGAUCAAGUAUUACUCUAAUAACAUCCACUAAGACAAGCCCUUUUACGACUCUAUCUUCACUUGAACUAUUAAAUGGGUGGUCAACCGAAAUAACAGUUAUAAUAAUAGCUACUAGAGUAAAAUGCUACAACAAUUAUAUAGCAACUCAUAAGAACAGUCAAAAACCCAUUGAGAUUGUUUGUCACUCAACUACAAGCAAGUUUAGUUCAUACUUUGAAAAAGAAAAACAAACAGCAAACUAUUGGUCACGAAAUACAUCGGUUCAAUCAAAGAGUAAAGAAAAGAACAAGUAAAGAACAAUGAAGAUUGAAUCCAAAUAACUAUGUUGGAUUCUUCACUGAUGCAGCUUGGUUCUCUUGAAUUCAAAUUGUUUUCUUCUUUUCCUCUUGAUUUUUCCAAUGUUAAUUCAUUUUUGCCGUUUUAUGUGAUGUGCGCCCCUUUUUAUAACUGAAACCUAGGGUAAAUAAAAGCUUAGGGCGCGCAUGAGUGAAAUUAGAAAACUGUAGAUCGCAAUUCUGCAGAUAUCCCGCCCUAAGUUUUCUCUGUUGUUGUUCCAGGAUUGCUACAGCAAUGGUUGCUCUAGCAACGGCCAUAAUACUGCACCGAUCCAGGUUUUGUUUCCCUUAUUUUGUGGUCAUAUUCUUCCUCCUUUUUGCCAACCUAUUGCAUCAGCAUCCCUUCCAUGAAUUAUAAACUUCUGAAAACCUACAAUUAUGCACAUGUUUUGAGCACAAAUUACUUUAAAUCAAGCAAAACUUAUUAAGACUACACUAAAAUGGAUGUUUAUGCAAAACGUAACAAAAAUGUAAUAAAAACACAUCAUUACUCUCUAAGUGGUCUUGAUUUAAGUCUAGAAUUGCCAUAAUAACUCUCAUUUCAUAGAGUUAUCACGGGUCCUCCUAAUCAAGUAAACGACAUAAUUAUUAUCUGUAACAUGAAAUACAUCUAACAAUACAAAAUAAAGCUCGAAACGAAACUCUCGGAUACAUAAAAUUUCAAAAUUACCCUUAUAUCCUAAAAUUACCAAAAUCCCCCUAACAUCGAAAUUUACCGAAUUGCUGUCGGAACCAUAAUUUAUCGAAUUAUCCUCAAAAUCAUAAAUUACCUAAUUGCUCUCAAUUCAAAUCACAAAAUUAACCACAAGUUCUGGAUUUAUGAAAUUACCCUUAGAAUGCAAAAUUAUUAAAAUGCCUUCAACAACAUAAAUUAGCGAAUUUCCCCCAAAAUCUUUAAUUACCUCACUGCCCUAGUCUAAAAUUACCAAAUCAUCCACCAAUUUCAGAAAUUACGAAUUAAUCCCCAGAGUUUGCAAAAUUACCAAAUUGCCCAUGCCGGUCAACGGUACCGAAGUUCAGUCAACAGUGACGAGAAGCUCAGGUCUGAUAGUUCUGACCUCGAUCAGUCCAAUGGUGCCAAUGGUGACCCCCCAGGCGCAGCGAUAAUGGCGGAUCAAACUUCCCAAGCCGCAAGAUUUCUGACAGUUGUUCACAGCCAAAACGGCAGUUAUAGAUGGCGGGGUUGGUUGGAAAACGAUGAGGGUGAGCUGAGGAUCAAGAUCCAAGUGGUGAUGUGGCCUAAAUUUGGUGAAAUCAACAACGACGAAAGCGAGUUGAGUUGCGGUCCUUGAAGCUUCGAUCACCCGCGUUCUGGCUGUUUUCCGGCGACGAUGACAACGGGGAUAUGACCGGCAUCGCUCAAACUUUAGAUCGAUACCAAGCUUGACUAGAACGGUGGCCGAAAACAGGAGUUGGAGCCGGGUCGAUUUCGCCAGUCGGGUCGGGUCAAAUGGGUCAAUUUCUCUUUCUCUCGCAUGCCCCCUCUCUUUCCAUUUUUGGAAACCAGCUCCCCUCUUUCUAUUUAUAGAAACUAGCUUCCAUUUUUUUAAAGCUUACUACCAAUUAAGCUAAUGCGGGACCCGUGUUGAAAUAAAAAUCUGACUACACAGCCAUUGAAUCGUGUUCGAAUUGUCUCAUUUUAUGUCGUGACAAAUUUAAAAUAAUCCAAACACGAUUUAUUUAAUAAACGCAUAACAUUUAACAGUCACCACUCAUAAUGUCGGAUAAUCGUGUUGUAUCAACUUCACCGUAAUAAUUUGGAACAAGUGCGACAAAUUUAAAAUUAAUGUCGAAGGGAAAAAAAUUAAAUAAUACACUUAAUUAGGAAAAUUAAAGUGCAUAUGUUACAGUUUUAUUAUUAAUUAUUGACUUUUUUUUUUGCAAUUUAUUGUGACACAUAAAAAAUCAUAUUAUUGAAAUUCCCAAUUGAAUAUAUAAAGUGAGUAAGUAUAACAUUACUCUUUCCAUAAUUGAUAAGUAACAAGUAAGGAUGGCAAAAAGACUAGAACAUGUUCUUGUCUGAUUGACCUAACUUUAAUUUUUAGGGUUUUUAAUUGAAUUUAAAGGGUCAAGGAUCAAGUUUCAACCCGAUUACAUUCAAGUCUAGGUUAGGACUUUAUAAAAAAUCCUAACUCAACCUUUGACCCUUAAAUUAAUUUUCAAAAUUAAAAAAAUAAUACUUAAAAAUUAGAACACAUCCACUACAAAUGUGGUCAAAACUCACUCCUCAAACUGAUAGUAUUUUGUAUUCGAUUUAUUUACUUGCUAAUUUGGUUAGAUUUUUACAUGUUGGAUUUUCGUUAAAGCUAAAUAAAAAGUUAAUUUAUUAAAUGCCUUACAACCAAAUUUAUCAUAAAAUGGAACAAUAAUAGUACAAUAUAAUUAAUAAAGAAUGAAAAGUUGGAGUCCUACUAAAGUAUCUAAAAAUUAAAAGAUUAUUGCAAGGUGUGGAUAAAGCUCGAGCCUGAACUUGACUUGAAAAAGGUCGACCCUAGCCCAACCCUUACUUUUGAGGAUCAAACUUUUGAAAGUUAAGACCCUUUAUUUUUAAUUAUAAGGGCAAGGCUAGGGGUUGGCCAAGCCUGAGCUCAACUAGAUCAAUUGCCAAACUUAUUGAUAAGAAAAUAAUUAAUACAGUUGUGAUAUUUGACCCCCUGGUUGUACCUCACCAGUCCCCACUAAUUACUUUUAUACUAAUAUUUAUUUUAUCUUUGUAUGAAAUGAUUUAAAAGAGUAAAUAGCUUUUAAGUGCACCCACAUGAUAAUUUCCAUUAAUAUAUAAUUUAACUAAUUUAUUUUCUUAAACCUUAAUUUUUUUAAACUUUUUAAAUUAUUAUUUUUUCUUAAAUAUUGUAUACUUUACUUUGGAAGAAAUUAAUUUAUAGCACGAAAUAGAAGAUGAUGAAGAAAUAUUAAUUUUUUUAUGGUUAUGGUAAUGAUGGAUAAAUUUUUAAACAGAGAGAGAGAGAUUAUAGUGAUUUUGAGAUUUUUUUCAUUUUGAAAUAGAUUUUAUAAGUUUCAGUGCUUGGAAAAAAGAUAAAAAAAUCAUAAUAAAGCUAAGUUCGCGAUUCAAUGAGGUAUGUUGAUAUAUAAAGUUUAGUUUAAAAUUUUUAAUAGCGUUAACGGAAAGGGGUUGGUAAAAUAUAAUAAGUGGGUCAAAUCUACCACCCUAAUUAGUAUCAUUUUACUCGAAAGUUUUACUUAUAAAUUUUGGAUAUUGACCGGCUUUAAAUCUAAAAAAAAAUUGAGAAAAAGUUACUUUAAAAAAUCUAUACAUUAUCCCAAAAAGUUGUACCCAAAAAAAAAAAAAAAAUCAGCCCGUUCUGAUUAAAUUCAAAAUGAAAAAACCCGGCCCGUUUCCCUACUUAAGACCCUCCUAGCAGUUUUAAAAAAAAUUUCCCAGCGAAGAAUAGAAGUGAUGGCAGCUGCUCUGUCUUCGACGCAUCGCAAUGGGAAUUUAGCUGGUUUUAAUUCUCUCUCUUAGCUGUUUCUGUUUCUUUAAUUUAACAUUGUGAUAUAUAUUUAUUAUGCUAGAGGUUCAACUAAGUCUCCAUUUACUGGGACUUUUCUCAUCUUGGGAAAUGUUAAUUUUGCCUUAUUUAUUCAGUAUUGUUAUCUUCCUCUGUCAAUAAAUUUUAUGCUUCGGUUGGUUAUUCAAUGUGGGUUUGUUCCAUUUUGUUCUUACGCUGUUUGUAUAAAUAUUAAAGGUUUGUUUUUUAAAAUGGCUUUCAGUCAAUUGCCUUCAAAGCUUUAUUUCCUAAAAGAGGAAAGAAAAAUAUACCAAAAUGUUUAAUUUCUACUGCUAUAUGUUUGCGUUUUUAGCUUCUGCUAUGCUUUGUAUUGUGUUGUUUGUGUUGGUAUUAAUGCUAGAAAGAUGUUUUCUUCUCAAAUCUGAUUGCUUAGAAUGAAUAUGAGGUGGUUAUUGAGUUGCAAUAUAUCGAAUAAAUUGAAGACGUCUGCUUCAUAGGUUUUGAUUCUAUUAAUUGUUUUCAUUUCAAGCAUGACACAAUUGCAUGGGUGUUCGAGGAGGCUAAGGGUGAUUUCUUAGGGUUGAAGCUAUAACUUUCUUUUAUUAUUGUCUAGUAUCAAAACUUGAAAAUAAAGUUUAAAGAUAAUGCUUAUGAUACAAACACAAAUGAUUGGAAAGGUAACUUGAACAAAAUAGAAGGAAAUCAAUAAGAAUAGGUUAAUUCGAGGAACUCUAAACCUUCAAAAUAAUAUUGGUUAUUUGAGAAACCAAUAAACUCGUAAAAUUUAAUUUACAAGUUGCGAAAAUAAUAGUACUCAAGACACUCUUUUAUUGAAUAACAUCAAGCUUUAAAUAGAGCUUUACUUCAAAGUUACAAGCAUAAAAAUAAGCAAGCAUUAAGCAUGUUCUCCAUCAUUCUCCAUGAAUCCACAAAAUAAGGAACCAACUAACAACUUGAUUUUGACUUAUUAAAAACCAGCUACACUUAAAAUAUAAAGUAAAUAAUUACUUUAACUUUAUUACAUGUUCAAUAAAUUCUUACUUGAAUUCAAUUUCCAAGUGCAGUUGCAACCAGACAAAGUGAAAAGGCAGAUAUCUGUGAUUAAUAGGAAACUUUUAGUGUAAGUUUCUAUUCUUUGGUCAUUCUUAUAACUGAUUUUUCAUUCUUGUCCAAUAUUUUUUCAAUUUGCAUCUAUCAGUUUAUCCUAUGAGACAAUAUUCAUUUGGAACUUUUGUGUCGCCCGUUCAAUAAUCAUUUUUCCCCUUUUCCUGAAAAAUUUUCAAAUAUGUUGCUUCAGAAGAGUUCUUCCUCUAAGAUACCAUUGUUCUUUAGUAUAUCAAGUUUGCUUGGACUUUGCAGUUUUCAAGUUUUUACAUUUUGUUUAUUUUCUCAUCUGAUUCAGGCACUUUGAGGCAGUUGAGGCCAGGAUUCUUCGUGCAUCAUUUUCUGCUUUUGUAGAUGUGCUUACACUUGCGACAAAAACAAUCGUACAGUUUGGUCAUGGAACGGAAUUGUAACAUCAUACUAUCUUUGGCAGUUGGAGAAUCAUUCUUAGUAGGAACUGUAUUACUUUAAUUCGCCUUCUUGUUUCGGAUUAGUUGACGUUUUUGUAACAAGAGAAUCUAUAGUGUUCGUUUUAUAAUGUAAAUCUUCAAAUUAUCGGAAACCUGUAACAAAUUCUUCAAAGCUGUGAAUUAUAAGUUUUUUUUUUUUAAUCAUUAGGUUUUAUCAAGAGGUUGCAGCUGUAAAUGUUAUAAUCCUCCCUUAGACCUUUUCAAUAAAGUUUUUGACAAGCUAUCUCCAACUCUUUCAGUUUGGGCCAAGCUAGAUUGCCAGACCUCACUUCUAGGGCUUUUCUGUUUACCCCUCAAACAGUUCAAUCUGAUAUUGAUUUCGUAAAGUGAGUAGAAUGAAGAAUUCAUUAGUGCUAAUAUUCUUCCAGCCAUUGAUGCAAUUCUUUACCAUUGUGUGACGCAGGAGGUACCUACUUGGCUACCAAGUGGCCCUCAGCUUAACGUGCCUCGAUAGCCUUCAAGCUUUUAGAAUUCAUCUAGCUGGUGGAAUCCUAUCUGGCGUCUCUCUAUAAGUUUGAAAAUCAAGAAUUUUCUAUAGCAAGCGUCAAGGGAUUUCUUGUCACCCAAAAGGAACCCAGAAAAGAUAAAAUCGUAGACAGCACUGUUUCACAUGCUGGAAUUCUCGGGAGGGUGCUUAUCAUAUGCUUGUGGCUAUAAAUAUGCUCGAAAAAAAUUGAAAAUUGAUGCUGCAAUCCCUCUGAGCCUCAAAGCAAAAAAAAAUGCCCUUUUAUAGCAUUGCUAAGAUGAAAGAUUACAGACUUAGCAAGGCUGACAUUGAGCAACAAUUUUAUGCAUACACUUUAUCUUGGGCAGAAUCACCAAAAGUCGAUGCAUCUUAAAAUUUAGAAUAAAAGCAGAUUCGACUUGUAUUAUAAGAAAUUCAAAUGGGGUGUCACGGCUGCGUCCAUCUCUAGGAAAACUCGCUUACAAAAAAUGCUGAAUGCUUUGGCAAUUCUUGAUGGCAUCAAAAUGGCAGUUGAUUCUGGACUGCACCCACCAUUUUAAUGCAGUGAAAUCAAUCUUAAAGAAGAGACUUCAGAUGGAUGAUCAAAGGAAUGCUCGGUUAUGUAAGAAAAGGAAAACAAUUUAUAGUUGCAAUACACUCAUCAAUAAUCUCAGGAACCUCUGAUGAUUGAAUUACAAGCAUACCUGUUCAUGCAAGAUAUUUGAUGCUAUGCAUCCGAAACUUCAUCGACCUUUGCAUCUAAGAGAUCAUUAACCUUACAAGUCACAGAACCCAAAUGGUCCACAGUGUUCACAACAGUAUCGUAUUCGUGAACAGUACCGUAUGUAAACAGUACCAUAUGUAAAUAGUACUGUAUUCCCCCAAGUACGAACCGUGGGCUCUGAUACCACUUGUUGUGUGCAGAAUGUGGAAUCAAGCGCACCAAAUAAUUAUAGAAAAAUAAAGGACACAAGAAUUACGUGGUUCGGUAAUUAAACCUACAUCCACGGAGGCAAGAAAGAAUAAUUGUUUAUUUAACAAUUAAUAGAGUACAAUAUUUGAGUAAUGAAUCUCACUUCCCAGAAACCCAAAUAUACCCAGUACUCUGACACUCUGCAGGAAAGAUAAAUUCCCCAGACACACUUCUCUCUCUUCUCUCAAAAGCUUGGAAAAUUAUAAGCUUAACAAUUUUGGGAUACUUAGAAUGGAAGAAGUGUCAUCUAUUUAUAGGGAAAACAAUGGCAAUAUUGCACCAACCCCUCUACUAUUCUACCUAACCUAAGCAAAUUGUCGAUGGUGUCCAUUUGGCAAAUUUGACAAAUUUGCCAACUUUUCAUUUUUUUCUUCAAUUGUUUGGUAGCUCUUUGAAAAUUUGCAUGCUUUCUUGAAUUUGGAUGCCACAUGCAUGAAUUUUUAACAAUUCUCUACCUUGGCGAAAAUUUGUCUAAAUCUGAGCCGACUACCAGUGAACCAUCAUCCCCAAAGUGGCUGGAUCUCUGAUGACUGCCUACAUACCCAAUUUGGGAUUAAGCCAACCGUAGUUCAAUAUUCCUGAAGGACAUAACUUAACACAAUCGAAGGAUUUGAAUUAGUUUCAAGCAAUGUUAAAACUUAACUCUAGAAACUACCUUUGUCAAUAUAUCUGACGGAUUAUCUAUGGUAUCGAUCUUUCUCAACAACACAACACCACUCACGAUAAUCUCUCUCACAUAAUGAUAUUUCACAUCUAUGUGCUUCGUCCGACCGUGAUAUAUUUGAUUCUACGCAAGGAAUAUCGCACUUUGAUUAUCAUAGAAGAUCACAAUGUUCUCCUAGAUUACUCCCAAAUCACCUAACAAGCCUUUCAACCAGAUAGCUUCUUUUGCAGCUUCAGUUGCUGCCAUAUACUCUGCUUUCGUAGUGGACAGAGCAAUUGUCGAUUGUAGAAUCGACCUCCAGCUAACCGGACCUCCACCCAAUGUGAAUACGUAGCCCGUUAUUGAUCUUCGCUUGUCAAGGUCUCCAGCGAAAUCAGAAUCACAACACAUUGUUGACCACAAUCCUUAUUGAACAAUAACCCAACAUCAACUGUCCCUUACAGAUAUCAGAGAAUCCACUUUACCGCAAGCCAAUGAUUUUUACCCGGAUUUUGCAUGUAUCUACUAACCAUGUUCACUGCUUGAGAUAUAUCGGGCCUUGUACAUACCAUAGCAUACAUAAGACUACCCACAACACUAACAUAUGGAACACGAGCCAUGUAAUCACACUCCUCUUGAGAUCUAGGACAUGAAAAAGAGCUUAAUUUGAAAUGAGGAGCUAGAGGUGUUGUUGAUUGAUUUCUAUAAUCAAUUAUUAUCAAUGCCAAUGUGCAAGUAUACACAACAAGUAAUAAAGUGAUGAGUAUUUCAAGAUCGUCUCCACAGAGAUUGAUGUUACUUAAAAUGCUAAAGCAAUCACAAUAGUGCAAAUCAACUAAAGACCGAAACAAACAAUUGUCAAAUAAUUCUAUCGUAACUAAUAAUUGUGAGAGAUGGAAAUAAAAUAAUACUGUAAUGAAAUAAACUAAGUUAAAUGUGUUUAAGAUUCAAUUGAGAAUAUAGUAGUUGAAUGAUCAAACUCUCCUAAUGGGGUGACUGUUGUUUACCAAAUUAGCACCAGUUGUUACAAUAAAUGCUGCAGCAAUGGUUAGAAUAAAUCUGCAUCCGCAGCUAUCGCAUGUUGGAAAUCUCAUACCUUUAAAUCUACUAACAAUGACCAGUUGCUCAUAUAUUUAUGGUACGACAUUAUAACCUUUAAUCUCUCCACCCUACAAGGUGAACACCUAUGUCUAGAGUGUCACAAAUCUUAACUUCAAGUAUUGCCCUUAUGGGAUUCAAGGUAACCUAAUCAAGAAAACUCGACUUAAGAACAAGUAAUACCCUAAUAAUGUCCGCUAAGACAUACCCUUUUGCUGCUCUAUCUUAACUGAAACUAUUAAAUGGGUGGUCAACUGAAAUAACAGUUGUAUUCAUAAAAACUACUAAGAGUAUAAUGCUACAGCAUUACCAUAACAACAUAAAAGAACAGUCAAGAACCCAUUGGAUUAUUUGUCACUCAACCACAAGUAAAUUUAGUUCAUAAUCUGGAUGAGAAAAAUAAACACGAAUAUAUUGAUCUCGGAAUACAUCCAAACAAUUCAAGGAAGAACAGAAAAUAUAAGUUGAGCACGAUGAAAGAAAAAUAAUUAUGCACGAUUCUUUUCUUUGUUUCCGAAUAGCACUCCUAAAUCUUGAUCUCCUUCUUCUUGCCUUUGUAAUUAUUUUUUAUGAUAAUUCCUUGCCGCCUUUCUAUGUGGUGCACGCCUCCUUUUAUAUUGCAAAUUAGGAUAAAAGACCUAAAGUCCAUGCGCAUGCAUGUGUUUAAAUUAGGAAACAUGCAUAUCGCGAUUUUAUGGCUGACCCACACUUUAAGCUUUCUCCCGCAUUACUCUCUGAUUGCUGCAGCACUGGUUGCUCUAACAUCCACAACAACACUGCAUUAUUCCCGAUUGUGCUUGUCUUCUUUUGUGGCCAUCUUCUUUCCUCCUCUUGCUCAUCUAAUGUCUCAGCAUCCCCUUAUGAAUUUAAAACCUACAAUUAUGCACCUGUUUUUAGCAAAAAUUACUUGAUUUAAACAAAACUUAUUAAAACCCAACUAAAAUGAAUGUUUAUGCAAAAGGUAACCAAAAUGUAAUAAAAACACCUUAUUUUCUCUCUAAAUGAUCUUGAUUUAACUCUAGAAUUGAUGUAAUAACUCUCAUUUCCUACAGUUAUCAGGUGUACAUACCGGUUUAGUUUUGUCAUCAAUACCGAAUCUUUCUAGAACUUUCUUCAAAUAAGACUUUUGAGUCAACCAUACACUCUCAUUCUUCUUGUCUCUACGAAUCUCCAUCCUAAGUAUUCUCUGUGCAUCACCCAAAUCUUUCAUCUCGAACUCAGAAGCCAGCUGCUUCUUUAAUCUUUCGAUCUCAUCUCUAUUCUUCGAAGUUAUAAGCAUAUCGUCAAAAUAGAGUAACAAAUAGAUGAAAGCUCCAUUUAGUAGUCUUCUAAAGUAAACACAAUGAUCGUGUUCACUUCUAGUGAAUUUUUGCCCUUGUAUAAAUUGAUCAAAUCUUUUGUACCACUGCCUUGGCGAUUGCUUCUGUCCGUACAAAGAUUUAAUCAAUUUACACACAUGAUUCUCCUUUCCAGCAACUUUGAAACCACAAGGCUUAAUCAUAUAGAUUUCCUCCUCCAAAUCUCCAUGUAAGAACGUCGUCUUAAUAAUCCAAUUGAGCCAACUUUAACUCAUAUUCUGCAACUAAGGCAAGUAGGAUACGAAUGGAAGUAUGUUUUACAACUGGAGAGAAAACUUCAUUGUAGUCAAUACCUUCCUUCUGAGCAAAAUCUUUUGCAACGAUUCUUGCCUUGUAUCGAGAAGUUGAUUGAUUUGGAGAUCCUUGCUUCUUGGUGUAGACCCAUUUAUUGCCAAUAGCCCUUUUUCCCUUUUGGUAACUCCACAAGUUUCCAAGUCUGGUUUUGAUGGAGAGAUUUCAUCUCUUUUUCCAUGGCUAACUUCCAUUGAUCACUUUCACUGCUGUGUAAUGUUUCACUGAAAGUGUUGGGGAUUUCAUCAUCAAUAACUAGAAGUGCAUAGGCUACCACCAUAUCUUUAGUAAGCCAUCCGAGUUUCUUUAUCUCUCUGUUUGGCCUCCUUGUUGCUAUAAAAUCAUCAUUAUCUACAUCAUCAAUUGUUUCUUCAUUUUGUGAGACAUUAGAAGAAACAACAUCUUCUUCAACUCUAGGUGUCACCCCCAUAGUUGAACCCUUAUCUGAUGUAGAACUAACUGGUACAUAUGGAGUUGCAUCAAACUCCACCCGCUGCAAUACCUCUUUGGUCUUGUUCUCCACCUGCUGAGAACUUGAAGCUUUCAUCAUUAAAGCUUCAUCAAACGUGACAUCUCUACUACACACAAACUUUUUAUCUUCGAGAUCCCAAAGCUUGAAGCCCUUUACUCCACAUUUGAAUCCCACAAAGAUAGCUUUUCUAGCACGAGGAUCCAGUUUACCAUCUUUGACAUGAUAAUAAACUGGACACGCGAAUAUACGAAGAGAAUCAUAGUCUUGUACAUGCUUUCCAGACCACAUUUCCAUAGGAGUUUUACCUCCAAUUACAACAGAAGGCAACCGAUUUACCAAGUGACUUAUGUAGCUCACAGUUUCAGCUUAAAACUUUUUAUUUAAACCAGCAUUAGAUAACAUACAUCGUACCUUCUCCAGUAAAGUACGAUUCAUACGCUAAGCCACACCGUUCUGUUGCGGAGUAUGUCUGAAAUAUCUUUAAUACCCUCGUUCUGGCAUACUUGCAAGAAUGGAUCAAAAGUAUAUUCACCCCCAUUAUCAGAUCGUAAUACUUUGAUCUUUCUGGCAGUUUGAGUCUCCAUCAAUUUCUUUCAUUUCACGAAAAUCUCUAAAACCUCAUCCUUUGCUCGCAUGGUGUACACCCACACACGUCUAGAGAAAUCAUCAACAAAUGUAACAAAAUAAUGGCUUCCACCAAUUGAUGCAGUCUUGGUUGGUCCUCAUACAUCACUAUGAACAUAUUCAAGGAUCUCACGAGUAUCGUGAUUAACUGUACCAAACUUGACUUUUGUUUUCUUGCCUACUACACAAUGCUCACAGAAAUUUAAUUUACAGGUUUUAAUACCUUUUAAGAGUUCGUGCCUCAUUAGAGUUUGCAAAUACUUCUCUCCAGCAUGUCCCAAUCGUACAUGUCAUAGCUUGGUGGUGUCAUUAUGCGCCUCAAUAACAUUUGCUUCAUCAGUUGUACCUCCCUUCAAAUAGUACAGAUUGUGACGCUGAACCCCUUGCAGAAUCACCAUAGUCCCAUGUGUAAACUUCAUUGUGCCAUCUCCAAUGGUAACCUUGUAGCCUUUAGCUUCCAAAGCACCUACAGAAAUUAGAUUUUUCUUUAAAGCUGGAACAAAUCUAACCACUUUGAGUUCUUUGAUCAUUUCAUCAAAUAUUUUGAGUCGAAUUGUUCUUAUCCCUAUUGUGCGACAAGGUUGAUCAUUCCUCAUCAUAACUGCACCAGAUUCCAAUUCGUUAAAAUCCGUAAAUCAUUCCUUAAUGGGACACAAAUGAUAGGUUGCUCUAGUAUCAAGUAUCCACUCGCUCGAACUAGCCACGUAUGCUGCAGGAGUAAUACUUAGUGAAUAAUCAGAGUCUUCAUCUUUUCGUGCCAUGUUUGCUGCUGCUGGUUUCUUCUCAUCUCUCUUUUGAGCCUUUGGACAAUCUUUCCUUCAAUGACCCUUUUUAUGACAAAAGGCACACUCGUCUCGAGCUAUAUUUCUGCUUCUCGAUUUGGAUCGAGAAUUCUUUCCACAAUGCUUUUUCUUUUUCUCCAUCGCCCAAUCUCUGCUCACCAAAGCUUCAGACGAUGCUCGUUCAAAAUUUUUAUUAUUAUUCUGAAUCUCUAAGUUAGUCAAUGCUUUGAAAACAUCUUUGAAGAUGAUCACGCUUUUCUCAUAUAUCAAGGUAGUCACAAAAUGACUAUAUUCCUCUGGUAGUGAGUGUAACAGAAUCAUAGCCUUGACUUCAUCCUUAAUAUCUUCAUCAAGAUUCUUCAAAUCAGCAAGUAACUUUUCAAAUCUCGAGACAUAAUCAUGCAUUCACACCCCAGGCUUCAUUCGAAAGCCAUAUACUUGGUUCAUUGCAUGAAGGCGAUUUUCAGGACUUUUUAGCAAGUACUUCUCUUCCAAUGUACGCCACAAAGUCAUCACACACUCCUCAUCCUUCACCAAGUAUUUGACCUCCUUGGUCAAAUAAGAUCUGAUCUGACCACAGGCUUUUUCAUUCAUAUGAUCCCAAAUUUCUUCAUCAUAUAAAUGUCUUUUAUUUUUCAGAACAACAUCGAGAUCGAUUUGAAUAAAGGCGUCCAUAACUUCGCGCCUCCACAUGCCGAGGUUGAUUUUCCCAUUAAACUUUUCAACAUCGAUCUUCUGGCCUCCUAUAAUAGGUGAUCAAUAGCGAUUUGACAAAUCUCGCCUCCCACCUAAAGUGUCUCCUGAAAUAGUCUCGGUAAAUCUCUCCCCAAUUCUGGAAGUUUCACCUUCUACCAUUUUCUCAACGAACUAUUUCCACUUGAAAAACAAUCUCUAUUAUGUUAAUUUCGCUUGAAUAAACGCACCAAGAAAGUUCCCAAGAGACUGGACGAGAACUCGGUCCCAAUUAAAAACUAUAAUCCUUAGACUAUUAUCGCCUUUGUUGAUAGAACUUUCCUAGACAUGCAAAAAUACACACUACUUAUAAUAGAUUGUCUCCCAAGUACAAAUGGCCGUCUCCACCGUAUUCGUGAACAGUACCGUAUCCCCCCAAGUACGAACCGUCGGCUCUGAUACCACUUGUUGUGCGCAGAAUGUGGAAUCAAGCGCACCAAAUAAUUAUAGAAAAAUAAAGGACACAAGAAUUACGUGGUUCGGUAAUUAAACCUACAUCCACGGAGGCAAGAAAGAAUAAUUGUUUAUUUAACAAUUAAUAGAGUACAAUAUUUGAGUAAUGAAUCUCACUUCCCAGAAACCCAAAUAUACCCAGUACUCUGACACUCUGCAGGAAAGAUAAAUUCCCCAGACACACUUCUCUCUCUUCUCUCAAAAGCUUGGAAAAUUAUAAGCUUAACAAUUUUGGGAUACUUAGAAUGGAAGAAGUGUCAUCUAUUUAUAGGGAAAACAAUGGCAAUAUUGCACCAACCCCUCUACUAUUCUACCUAACCUAAGCAAAUUGUCGAUGGUGUCCAUUUGGCAAAUUUGACAAAUUUGCCAACUUUUCAUUUUUUUCUUCAAUUGUUUGGUAGCUCUUUGAAAAUUUGCAUGCUUUCUUGAAUUUGGAUGCCACAUGCAUGACUUUUCAACAUACUGGACAUGAUUUCGAAAGGGAUUCAUCUUCUAGUGGGUCAAUUUUAAAUAGUGUCUCAAUUUCUGUGGAUGCCGACCCUUAAUUUCAAACAAAUGGUGACAGAGAAGAAUGGCCUUGAAACUGUUUGUAUUUCAUAAAUAAGAUUGUUAGACUUUUCCGAUACUAUCAUUCUUGUAUCCUUACAGUUUCUUUGGGCACCAUCAUUUGUAAUUAAACACUUCCAAGUCAUUUCAAACAAAUUUUCCACUAUUUAAUUGCAUGCGCUGCAUCUUCCUCGUUUUUUUUUCUUUUCUUUUGGUGGGGGGGGGGGCAAAUGGAGGAGAUGAAGGAAAAAUCUGUUGAAAUUAAUUUCGUAGUUGAAGUUUAUAAAUGCAAGAUGAUAUGAUCUCAGAGUCUAUUAAAUACUGAUGUGCAAGAACUUUAGCACCAUGUGACCUAAUAUCUCUAGUAAAUAGGAGAGAACAACUUGAGCACUUAAAGAGGGCCAACGUUAAAUAAACUCCAGAGUGGCAUGUCGGAAUUGUUGGCUUAUUGUUAUGCAGGACUUUCCCGGUAGUGAAAUAAAGUCGAAAGGAAGAUGGGAGGAAAUAAAGAUCAAUGCGCUUUCUUGUAUUUCAUGGGUUAAAAAUCUUUUUAUCUGAUUACAAACUGAUAGAUAAAAUACCCUUGUAUCAUUUGUGAGUGAAUCUCUUAGGUCAAAUAUAUAAAGUUAGAACAAUCCUCAACUCUUUAGUUAGAUUUUGAGUAUGGCUUAAACCCAUGAACUUUUAUAUUUUAUUAGAGAUAAACUCACCCACGAUUAUGCCCGCACUACCUCCCACAGUACCUUACCACUAGACGCCCUUCACAUGGAGGCUUGGGUACCACUCGAAAAGUCAUUUGAAAGAAAAGUCUGUUUAAAAUUACGUUCCAAUUCUGUACUCUCAGCUCUCCAAGUUAUAAAUUGAUAUUCAACUCAUGUUAUAAAAGGGUAAUGCUAGAGGAUCCCAUCUCGGGUACCAAUGGAUGGAUGUGGCAUUCAUUAAGUGGAUAGUAGAAUAUUUAUUUUAUCAGUUAUAAAAUUUAUUAUUCAAUAGAUAAACAAUAUAUAAUAGUUGGGACUCAAAUCGGGACUUAAUUGGUGGGUCACAAUCAUUAUUGGUUAAAAAAAAUGUACAGAGAUAACUAGCGUAAGAGGUAAAUCAAAAACUCUUUCUUUCUCUCUGCUAAGACCCUUUCUGCCACCAGCUAAAAUUCACUAGCUUUGAUCAAUCAACGUGCCUGAAUUACAGAGCCACCACAUUUUCGAACCUCUAAACUUUCAAAUCUAUUUUCCAACUCUGUUUUUCCAACCACUGCAGCCUCGGACCAACCGAAACUCCCUGCUGCUACCUCUAGCUACCACGUCGCCAAUUGCCCAUCACACAGCAAAAAAUUAUACUAAAGGAGUUUCAGUCGGGGAGGGAACCAGUACGUCAAUUCUUUUUUCUUAUUUUCUAUUUUUCUUCUAUAUUUCUUUUGUUUUUAUUUUCGUCUCUGCUUCUGUUAUUGUGCUUGUUUUUAUGUUUUG
This 60748-nucleotide long non-coding RNA is filed under the name Citrus x clementina. Its description in RNAcentral is "Citrus clementina (C. clementina) long non-coding RNA (CCLE_LNC004043)". The record is from RNAcentral. Lineage: Eukaryota; Viridiplantae; Streptophyta; Magnoliopsida; Sapindales; Rutaceae.